AAUGAUAAAUGAACACAUAAUAUUGGACACAAAUACAAUACCAUGGGUAGUUUUGACAUUUCAUCCAUAAAAUAGGGCAGUUUUGUAAAAUCCCUAAAACCCUUGCAAUCAUUUUCUCUAUUCUCUUUCUUCUCCAUCGUAUCCUCACCACCAACCAUCCUAUCGUCCUUUUCUUCUUCUUCUUCCAUUUUCAACCACCUUUCUUCCCUGCAAGAACAACCACACCCACAACCAUGUCGUUGAGCUUAACUUGUGCGCCGUCGUAGCUAUUUCCGGCCAAAUCUCUUUCAGAUCCGAUCAGUGUUUGUCAGUCGGUGUUCAAAUCUGAAUUGUAGGGCUUUUGCAGAAAUGAGAAGAAGGACGCUCGUUGUUGGUUGUGGUGGUCAGAUCUGAGUUGAUCAGAGAAGAUGGUGGUCGGACGGUGGUCGGGCGGUGGGGAGAGAGACAUGGUGGAGAGAGAGUGUCACAUAAGAGGAAAAGACAAAAGGAAAAAAAAAACUUGGACGUAUAAAUACCGUAUAAACAUACGGUCAACAAUAUUUGGUGUCAAAUUUGUUUUGUAAUUUGAUGUCUGGUUAUCAUUUCUCUUAAAAAAAAUGACAACUAAAAAGAAACGGAUAGAGUAAUUCUCAAAGGUUCAACUUUUUCUCAUUUCUCAAUGUCUCUACUUAGUCUAUCAAAAACACGUUGUAAUGAAGUCUAAUACUCCCUCCGUCCCAAAUUGUAUGUCACUUUAGAAAAAAUAUUUGUCCCAAAUUGUAUGUCACUUUAGAAUACCAAUGAAACAUUAAUGUUACUUUUUCUAUUAUAUCCUUAACUAUUUAUUACUCUUUCUUUUUUCAAUUCUUUCAUUUAUCUUUAUCAUAUCAUUUAUUAAGGAUAAUUUUGUAAAAUAACUCAUAAUAUCUCUUUCUCACACAAUAUUAAUUACAUUUCUUAAAAUGUGUGAAAUGCCCAAAACGUCAUACAAUUUGGGACGGAGGGAGUAUAACACAACUAGUUAGUUUUGCAUAUUAAAUGAGAACCACAACUAUCAUGCAUCAUCUAAUAAUUUUCCAACAAUUCAAAUUUCUCCUAACCCAAAAAAUGUUAUUUUGAAUAUUAUAGAAAAUGUAAUGAUAACGGAUAUCAUAAAGAUAUUUUUUAAGAAAUUCAUAAAACAAAUUGUAAAAAAAAGAAAGAAGAAAUUUAUAACAAACUGUCUUAGAAAUACUAGCCAGUCAAAUAAAUACACAACUUUUUAUUUAGAAGUUACUUCUUUUAUUACUUAAACAAUGUCCUAAGGACCAUAAAAAAAUCUUAAAAACUGGUGGUGUAUCAGCAAAAAAGGUUUGGAAAUAGUAAUUCACUUACCUUACGAGUGCCUGUUCUGGGGUAGUUGGCCCAACAAGUUUCUUUGACAGUCUUGUCUUGGGAAAAAAGAGGGGAAAACACAUCCCAUGUGAUUUUUAUUUUAUUUUUUUACUUAGAAUUCCACGUGAAUUUAGAAUUAUAUGUAUAUAUCACAAAAAAAAAGUUUGAAAUAUUUGUCUCAAUAUUAUUUAAUAGCCAUGACAUUAAUGUGAAGUACCAAUUGGCUCUGUCAAUGACCACUAUAGAAAGUUUGACUAACCAUCUUUAGUAAUUGUCUCCUCAUUUGCAUUUUUUUUAAACAUGUUAAACAAAUUUUGAAAAAUGUUAAACACUCAUUUGCAUCUUUAAUUAACUAUAACUUUUCGCUACCAUUAACAUUCAUUUGCAUUUUUUUUUAAAUGUAAACAAAUUUUGAAAAACAUUCUUGAGAAAUAUAUAUUUUUUUCCAAACACACGAGUAAAAAUGUUAUUUCUAGGAAUCAUAUCAUCUCAAUGAAUGUAAUUUCAAACAUAGCACAAACGAAAAUGUAGAAAUCUCUUGUAGGAAAAGUAUGUGAAUUCAAGAAAUUAAUUAUGCAGUUGCACAUACACCGUGGUGGUUCCCACAAAAAUGUAGAAAUGAAAGUUUAAGUUGAGGAAAGUCAAACUUAAACUCAAACUCAAAGCAUGAAGAAAAACAUGAAAACAAGAUUAAGCUUCUCCACCAAAAUCCACAAUCCCAAUCACAAAAUCCAAACUUCCACUUUACUCAUUUUCCCAAUCCAAACAUUCCUUAUACAACUUCUCUGUUCAUCUCUAACCCCAGUCUCAUCUAACCAAACCCCCCCACCACUUCCAAUCCUCCCUCUCCCAACAGCAUUCCAGCUCCAAUGGCAAAAUUCCAACAUGGCCCUUUUCUUCCACUUCGGCACAAACACCUUCACUGACUCCGAAUGGGGUACAGGUCAAGCUCAUCCAACAAUCUUCAACCCAACAAAACUCAACGCUUCUCAAUGGAUUCACGUUGCUAAAGACACUGGUUUUUCAAGGGUUUUGUUAACUGCUAAGCAUCAUGAUGGGUUUUGUUUGUGGCCUUCUGAGUAUACUGAUUAUUCGGUUCGGUCCAGUGGUUGGAGAAAUGGGAAUGGUGAUGUUGUUGCUGAUGUUGCUGCUGCUGCUGGAGAGGCUGGUGUUGGGUUUGGGAUUUAUCUUUCUCCGUGGGAUCGGCAUGAACUGUGUUAUGGUGAUACCUUGCGGUAUAAUCAACAUUACUUGGCUCAAAUGACUGAGUUGCUCACUAGGUAUUUGUUGUUUUGACUUGGUUGAUCAUUUUGGGUUUGUUUGGAUAAACAACUUAUUUGCAGCUUAUAGCACACACGUUCAUAAGGUGUUUUUAUAGAAAAAGAUAAAACAGAGUUGAAUUGUUUUUGUAUGUGAUAUAAUUAAUAAGCUAUAUUGGAGAACUUAUGAAAAUAAGCCAAAAAAAGCUUGUGAAAAUUGUUUUGACAAAAUUUAUGUCAAUAGAUAAGCCAAUUCAAACAGGCUCUUAAUCUUUCAAUUUUGUGCUUAAGGAGUAGAAGCUAAGUUUAUUUUAUGUCUUCAUUAUUGCCCAAUUAGUUGAAUUUUAAUUGUUUUAUGAGUUAUUAGCUUCCAUCUCAUUAUUAUCACUAGGAUCUAGCGUGAGUGGUAAGUGCGCAAAAAAGUGUGUUAGUAUUUUAAACAUCGGGUUAUUGAGUUCGAUUCCUAACAAUCUUAAAAAGCUUCCACCUUGUUGUUACAACAAUUAGUUUUUUUAGCUCUUUUUUUUGAAAGAAAUUAGUUUUUGUAGUUAUCAAGCUAGUUAUUAUGACUGUUAUAUGUAUGUUCAUGUGAUCAGUUAGCGUUUUUCUCUUCUUCACGUUUAACCCUGUGGUUUCUAAGGAAAAAGGGUUGUUAUAAUCCGGGGUCAUUGUAAUGCAUAGUUUGACUGGUAGGUAAGAAAAGUCUGGCAAAACAUGUUUUCAACUAGGGAUUGAACUUGGUUGUUCCCACUGAAGCUUAUUAACCACUUUAGCCCAACCACUUGGUUGGUUAGUUUUUUAUCCUUUUCAACUGGUAUUAAUUUAUUUAAGAAAUGUAAUUGUUUUACAAACUUGUAAUUAAUAUGUUACUUAUUGGAAGUAACUCUUGAAACAAACACUAGUGUAAAGUAAGCUUGUAACUGAAUUCUGAAGUAAUAAAUUUAGGGUGUGUGCUCAGUAUAUUUAAGCUAAAAGUUAUGAAGUAAGCCCGUACAAUUAACUUGAGAAUAAGUACAUCCUUUCUAUUUUAGAAUCAUGCUAGUUUUAAAGGAUCUUUUUUCUUUAAAACUAUACUUGAUUUUUAUUUUUAUAUUGAGGAAGUUGAUAUUUGUGAUUGGUUUGGAUUGACCAAUUUGGUUUCUUUCCGUUUGACAAUGUAUUGCUAAUACAAUGUGCAUUCACUUUUGCAUUUAAACCAGGUAUGGAGAGAUAAAGGACGUUUUUCUGGAUGGUGCUAAAGGAGAAGGGGAGAAGAACAUGAAAUAUUUCUUUGAGAGUUGGUUUUCUCUCAUUCACCAGCUCCAACCAGGUGCCGCCAUUUUUUCUGAUUCUGGUCCUGACACAAGGUGGGUUGGCAAUGAACAAGGGGUUGCUGGAUCCACUUGUUGGUCUCUUUUCAACCAGUCCGUCAUUGAAAUUGGUGGCGUUGACAAUGAUCCACAGUGAGUUCUCUUUCAUACUAACACUCCUAAUAUAGUUUCCUUGGCUUUCGCAUUGGUUGGUUCAUUAUGUCCUUGUUUGAAAUUAUCUCGGAUUCAAAAAUCUGUUACAUUGUCAGUCAUCAUUAUAUAAUUAAUGCAUUUUUCAUUAAAAAAAUUUAAAUAGUCUUGGAGUUGAAUCGUUGCAUUAUUCGUCCAUCGGGAUUGAAAGGAUUUAACUUACCCUGAUUAAGAGGAUUUAUUGAUCUCAAAUGAAGUUGAAGCAUGCAAGUUUCAAUCAUUUUUCUUUGCGUCAGGAUGUAGAUGGGUAGAAAUGGGAUUUGAAUUUCCUGUUGUCAAGAGAUUUACAGCAUUAGAUUAAUUACUUUUAUCUUUCUCUUGUAACUAAAGACUGCAUGAAAUCCAAUGCUGUGUAAAUUCACUGACUGUGUGACAGUGUGUUCUCUUCACAUUGACAACAUGGAAUCCAAACCCUAAAAAUGAUUUAGUGUCAUGGUUGCAUAGCGUGAGAGGUCCAUUUGUUGCAACUCAGAUUAGGCUUGUUUGGAUUGGCUUAUUUGAGCUUAUCUACUGACAUAAACACGAGACUGUUUGGGAGAGUUUAUGAAAACAUCUUAUGACAUAUUGUCCAUAGCUAUUUUCAGCUUAUUUCCAUAAGCUCUACAUGAUAGCUUAUUAAAACAACAUAUAUGAAAACAAUUUGACUUUAAUUUAUCUUUUGUUAUAGAAAUAGCUUAUACAUCAUAAAGUGUUUAUGUGAUAAGUGCUUAUAAUUUAGCUGUUUAUCCAAAUAGGACUUAAGAUACCUACUUAUUAAUGUUUUGGGGAUCUAACAGAUACCAAAAGCAGGGAGAUCCAUUUGGUCUUGAUUGGGUGCCUGCACUUUGUGAUGUCUCUAUCAGACCUGGUUGGUUUUGGCAUGCUUCAGAGCAUCCAAAGUCUGCAAGGAAACUACUUGAAAUAUACUAUAAAUCUGUUGGUCGAAACUGUAAGCUAUUAUUGAACGUCCCCCCAAAUUCAUCAGGCCUUAUUUCAGCUGAGGAUAUCCAAGUUCUUCGAGAGUUCAGUGAACUCCGCCAUUCCAUAUUUUCCCACAAUUUUGCUGCAAGUGCUUCCCUUAAUGCCAGCAGCACAAGAGGAGGAAUCCAAGAUACUCGCUUUAGUCCCAACAAAGUUCUUGAAGAAGGUAUACACACUUAUUGGGCUCCUGAGGAGAACCAAUCUAAAUGGAUAUUGUACAUAAAUCUCAAAAAACUAGUAUCCUUUAAUGUUCUGCAAGUUCAAGAACCUAUUCAUAUGGGACAAAGGGUGAUUAAGUUUCAUCUGGAGGCAUUGAACCGAGACGGUUUAUGGAAGAGUGUUGUAAAUGGCACCACAAUUGGAUAUCAGAGGCUGUUACUGUUUCCGAAACUAAAAUCUCAGUAUUUGAAGCUAGUUGUUGACAAGUCAAGGGCAGAACCUUUGAUAUCUUACUUAGGAAUCUAUUUGGACCCAGUUACAGUUUUGAGUGAGGACAUGCCUGAUAAAAAAUCAGGUACAUAUUUCAAUGGAACCCAAGUUCUUCGCAGUGCCAUGAAAAAUGAUUCUCAAAGUGCUACAAUGUAAACUUUGAUGUCGUCGAUUUGUUUGUAAUUGUAAAAUUUGAAAAUAUUUUAAAAGGUGUGUCCACGUUCGAUUUUCCUAUUGUUUAUAAUCUUCAAGUGUGGAGUCAACCAUGAAUAGCAUGAGCUAAUGGAUUGUUGAGAAUUUAAGAGAUAAUAGAAGCAAAAAUGCCAAGAAUUUGAGAGUGGCUCAGGGAAAAACAAAUGUGUUUUAUUCAUUAUUCCAAUGUUCACAAGGAAAUGACAUUAAUGUUUAGACAACAAGAAUGUGAUUUUGGUUUUGUGCUGAGUGCAUCAUAUCAGUUUCCCUUGCAUCCAUUCUUGUAACAUCUGAAGUGCAACUUUUGGUUGAUCCAUAGGAACCAUGUGACCAGCCUCUUUCAACUAUUGUUCCAAAAAGCAUAAAAUAAUUAAAAAUACAAGUGAAUCAAUAGCUACAAAGCACCAACAGACACACACAUACAAUAGACACAACACCAAUGUUGACAUGUAGACAUCUGCGAAAUAAAAGGAUCAGAUGUAAAUACUUCUAUCGGUGUGGGACACGACAUAUGUCGAACACCAGACAAACUUUUAAUUUGAAGUGUCUGUACAUUGUAGACGAAUAGCCGCUUAUGCUCAUGAAUACAUCCUUAAACUACCUUGCGGAAAGCCAAUGGUCCAUGGCUUUUCAGAAUUCCUGCUUCUUCACUAUCAACCAAAAACGGAGUUGUAGGAGACUCCUUAUAUGCUGUCUGACCUGACCACUUCAUGGCAUCAAUCCACCUUGAAUUCCCUACCAAAUGAGAAGCACAUUUAGAAUUCUAACUAACUAAAUUUCAUCAAAUUUUUUGACACAAACAAUUUUGGUUCCAAAUUAAUUCAGCUUAGUUAAUGAGCUUUAGUUAAUGGCAAAUAGUUUAGGGGAAUCUUAGUUCGGAUUCUGCCUAAAAGAAUAAUUGGUCAGCCAUUACCAACCUCUCGACGGAAUUUCAAAUUAAUAGGGGCCCUUUCCCUAAAAACCAAAGAAUUAAGACUAGAGAAAUAAACUAAGCUUACCAAGCCAAUUGCAUAUUAGAUCUUUUUCUCCGGCAUACACAAGUAACUUGAUUCCAUCCUCAAGAAGAGCAGGAAUACCCACUUCAAGAUUUUUCAUCCAAUCCUGCAACAUGGUAUUGUAUACUGUGCUACUGCAAGAAACAAAUUCCAAGUCCCCAACACCUAAAGCUUCCUUUACUAUCUUCAUGUUCAAGAACGUCUCUAUGCCGGAGAAGUAAAAACAAUGAUCUCCCUCACAUUUCUUUCUGAUGUCGUAGCACUGCAGUUUGAAUAACAUAAUGCAUUAGUGUAUUCAAACUUCAUUAUUUUCAUACAAUCUUUACCUUAUACUUUUAGUGCUAAUUUUCUUUUUUCGACAGCAUACAUUAACGUUGUCGGUGUUGUUUAUGAUCUGAAUAAAUAUGUUCAUACAAAUACUUAAUGAAGUCACGCAUGCAUCUCCACCUUCAGUGCCUGACAGAUAAAUUAAGAGUGUCGAUGAGAAAAAAUAACACGCGACUUGUACAAUAAGUUGGUAAAAUUCUCUCUUCGUGCUAAGUGAGUUUUGACCGAGAAAGGGCAAAGAGAUCAAUGUUCUACCACAUGUUUCUGUCGCCUCUUGACAUGGUGGGAUCAACUUGUUGAUUCUUUCAUAUUCAUCCUUAUUAAUCAGUCCAUUGUCUAAUGCAUAAUCUGUAUAUGACAUGUACUGAAUUUCAGGAUUGGUUAAUCCAUUACCAAUAGCAAAGCCCUGUUUAUUAAUCACUUACUAAUCCAUUACCUUUGAUAUCUAUUUGAAAUAUCUUACUGAGAAGUAGUAUAAAGGAUGGAAGGAGUUAAUACAAUUAAAGUGAUUAGUUUACAUUAUAUUGAUAUAAUUUUUUGAGAAAAGUUUACCUUUUCAUAAAUAUAAGUUACAUUAUAUGACAAUGUAAUAAUACCUUUAGAUUUAUAUGAAUUCCUUCUUUUGCUUUGUUUCCUUGGUGAACUCUGGAUGCAAAAGCUGGAACGUAAUGUCCAGCGUAUGACUCUCCGGUAAUAUAAAAGUCAUUCUCAGCGAACUGAGGGUGUUCCUUAAAAAAUGUCUGUUAUUGUAAAAAUUUAAAUUGAGCUUAUGUUUGCACAACAUCAUAGUGUAACAUACAAUUUCAAAAUUAAAUAUAAGUACUAACUAACUAUGAAUCAUAUUGUCAAAACAAAACAAAAAAACUAUGAAUCAAGUUUAACCACUUAAUACGAAUGAUUAAUUCAAUUCAUAUGUUAUUUUGAUAUUAUAUUCUUUAAUCACUUAACAAAUCAAGUUACCUGCAAGAAAAUAUAGAUCAUUGCUAACACCGUCUUCAUCAUGUCGAUAGUCACUAUCAUCAGUGGUAUAGCUGAAACCUGAUCCAAUGGGUUGGUCUACAAAUAUAAUAUUUGAUGCCUACAAAAGAGAAAGAAAAAAGUAUAUAUUGCAAGAUGAUUAUGUAUCAGUGAGAACUAAAGUGGAAAAGAGAAAAGGGAAUAGUGAAUAGCAGCUACCUUGUCCCAUCCAUAUUCAUUCCAAACAAGGGACAAGUUCUUGUCCUUUGAGAACUGAAAUGGUCCAUUUUCAUAAAACAAGGCAAUUUCACUGCCGCAUCCAGGACCUCCGGUUAACCAUAUGACGACAGGGUCAUCCUUACUGUUUCGAGAUUCAAAGAAAAAAUAGAACAUCCUGCAAUUGGCAUAACAAAUUGUUCAAUGGAAAUAUGUCCAUGCAAACGUUAUUAUGAUGUGGGGUGACAUAAAGUGAUAAAAUAUUUACCUAGCAUGACCAGGAACGAAGAAGACUAUAAUACCCUGCAUGAUGACCAAGUUCUUCAACAGAAUAACCAGGGUCAUCAAAACCAGGGAAAGUGAACUUUUUCUCCACAAUGUUUCGAUAGAGGACAAGAGGAUCAUUCUCUGGUAUGUUUAUGGAACUUUUAGGAAAAAGGUUAAGUCCUCUUAUGAGAGUUGAAGAAAGGAGAAUGUCAUUGUUUUUGGGAUGCAGUUGAAGAAAGGAGAAUGAAGGUGAAAUGAAGAAGAGGAAGUGCAAAAACAUUGUAAAAGACAGACACAUUUUGAGGAACCUUAAAGAUGAUGCCAUGUUGUUUUGUUUUUGUUGAAAAAAUGGAAGAAAUGGAUGUGAAUUUAUAGUGCAAGAGAUGUGAAAUUUAUCCUCUUUUAUUUAGGUUGCCAAUUUGGGAUAAAAAGAUCAAACAUUGAUAUGCAUUUUAAUUUUUAAACUAUUCUACCACAAUAUAUAUGCCUCAACCAUUUCUUGUCUGUGAUUCUGUGAAGCAUCAUUGCUAUGCUGGAAAAGAAUGGUAAUAUCUCAUGUUAUGAAAGGAGUUAUUUAAUCUCCCUAUAUAUUUUUUUCCUCGUCGAAAACACUUUGAAUGUUGAGAACUUGAAUUUCUCGGUGUUCCCUUUUCAGGUCAAGUAAUCUUUUCCACUUCUCCACAAGAACAUUACUUUGACUGCCCAUACCAACUGAGCUCUGAGAGGGUUGGCCAAACAUACCUCGAUGCAACGGUAACAUUUAGCAAUUGUAAGUACUAUUAUAUCAUUAACUUAAUUUCCUUUUCCUACUCCUCUAUCUGUCUUCACUUCACUCUUCAAAAUAAGCAAGAUUUCUAAACCAGCCAUAUAUAUAAAUUUGUGUAUGUGAAAUAGUCAUUGAAGAGAAAAGGGAAAAUAUGCACAGAAAGCAACCACCUAAACUUUCAUGCUCAGAUUUAGACAGACAACUAAAUAGGUAAUACUGAUGCUCCCUCCGUCUGACAAUUUGGGGAAUAAAAAUCAUGUAUUUUUAAGGAAGGUUCAGAAGGAGUGGAUUAUGGUUUACAAGAAAAUGUUUCAGUGUCAUCUGAUAUAGAAGAUCAAGGGUGUAUUUCCUUUGGUUUAGAAGAAUACCAGUAGGAGACCUAGCAAUUUCUAAACCAAGAAAAUAUCUAAGUUUACCCAAGUCUUUAAUUUUAGAACAAUUUGACUUUAAUUUAUCUUUUGUAAUAGAAAUAGCUUCUACAUCAUAACUGUUUAUGUGAUAAGUGCUUGUAAUUUAGUUGUUUACCCAAACAGGACUUAAAAUAGCUACAUAUUAAUGCUUUGGUCGAAACUAUAAGCUAUUAUUGAAUGUCCCCCCAAACUCAUCAGGCCUUAUUUAUGCUGAGGAUAUUCAGGUUCUUCGAGAGUUCAGCAAACUCCGUUGCUCCAUAUUUUCCCACAAUUUGGCUGCAAGUGCGUCCCAAAAUUCCAGCAGCGCAAGAGGAGGAUUCCAAGAUACUCGCUUUAGUCCCUACAAAGUUCUUGAAGAAGGUAUACACACUUAUUGGGCUCAUGAGGAGAACCAAUCUAAAUGGAUACUAUACACAUAUCUCAAAGAACUAGUAUCCUUUAUUGUUCUGCAAGCUCAAGAGCAUGUUCAUAUGUGACAAAGGGUGGUUAAGUUUCAUCUUGAGGUGCUGAACCGAGACGGUUUAUGGAAGAGUGUUGUAAAUGGCACCACAAUUGGAUAUCAGAGGUUGUCGAUGUUUCCGAAACCAAAAUCUCAGUAUUUGAAGCUAAUUGUUGACAAGUCAGGGGCAGAACCUUUGAUAUCAAACUUAGGAAUCUACAUGGAUCCAAUUACAGUUUUGACUAAGGGCAUGCAUGAUAAAAAAUUAGGUACAUAAUUCAAUGGAACCCAAGUGCUACAAUGUAAACUUUGAUGUCGUUGAUUUGUUUGUAAUUAUAAUAUUCGAAUUUUUUUUAAAAGGUGUGUCCACGUCUGAUUUUCCUAUCCUUUAUAAUUCUUCAAGUGUGGAGUCAACCAUGAAUAGCAUGACCUAAUGAAUUGUUUGAGAAUUUAAGAGAUAGUAGAAGGCAAAAAUGCCAAGAAUUUGAGAGUGACUUGGGGAAAAACAAAUGAGUUUUAUUCAUCAUUCCAAUGUUUACAAGGAAAUGCCAUUAAUGUUUAUACAACAAGAAUGUGAUUUUGGUUUUGUGCUGAGUGCAGUUUCCCUUGCAUCCAAUCUUGUAACAUCUGAAGUGCAACUUUUGGUUGAUCCAUAGGAACCAUGUGACCAGCCUCUUUCACCUAUUGUUCCAAAAAAAAAUAUAUAGUUAAAUACAAGCGAACCAAUAGCUACAAAACACCAACAGACACACACAUACACCAGACACACUUUUAAUUUGAAGUGUCUGUACUAUGUAGAUCAAUAGACUCUUAUGCUCAUGAAUACAUCCUUAAACACAAACCUUAAGGAAAGCCAAAGGUCCAUGGCUUUUCAGAAUUCCUGCUUCUUCACUAUCCACCAAAAAUGAAGUUGUAGGAGACUCCUUAAAUGUUGUCUGACCUGACCACUUCAUGGCAUCAACCCACCUCGAAUUCCCUAACAAAUGAGAAGCACAUUUAGAGUUCUAUAACUAACUAAUUUGUAUCUUGUUUAAGAUUGGAAAAAUUAAUUGAGCUUACCAAGCCAAUUGCAUAUUAGAUCUUUUUCUCCGGCGUACACAAGUAACUUGAUUCCAUCCUCAAGAAGAGCAGGAAUACCCACUUCAAGAUUUUUCAUCCAAUCCUCCGUCAAGGCAGCAUGUACUAAGAAACUGCAAUAUUCAAAUUUCAAGUCCCCAACACCUAAAGCUUCCUUUACUGUCUUCAUGUUCAACAAUGUCUCUAUGUCAGAGAAGUCCUGACAAUGACCGAAAGCUCCCUCACAUUUCUUUCUAAUGUCGUAGUACUGCAGUUGGAAUAACAUAAUGCAUUAGUGUAUUCAAACUUCAUUAUUUUCAUACAAUCUUUACCUUAUACUUUUAGUGCUACUUUUCUUUUUUGACAACAUACAUUAGUGUUGCCGGUGAUGUUUGUGAUCUGAUAGAAUAUUUUCAUACAAGUAGUUAAUGCAGUCCCGCAUGCAUGUCCACCUUCAGUGUCUAACAGAUAAAUUAAGAGUGUCAAUAAGGAAAAAUAACACGUGACUUGCACAAUAAAUUGGUAAAAUUCUCUCUUGGUGCUAAAUGAUUUGUGACUGAGAAAGAGAAAAGAGCUCAAUGCUAUACCACAUUUUUUUGUGGCCUUUUGACAUGGUGGGAUCAACUCGUUGAUUCUUUCAUAUUCAUCCUUAUUAAUUAGUCCAUUCUCUAAUGCAUAAUCUGUAUAUGCCAUGUACUGAAUAUCAGGAUUGGUUAAUCCAUUACCAAUAGCAAAGCCCUGUUUAUUAUAAAAGAUGAAAGGAGUUAAUACAAUCAACGUGAUUAGUUUGCAUUACAUUAAUAUAAAGUUUACCUUUGCAUGAAUAUAAAGUUACAUUAUAUGACAAUGUAAUAAUAAUACCUUUAGAUUUAUGUGAAUUCCUUCUUUUGCUUUGUUUCCUUGGUGAACUCUAGAUGCAAAAGCUGGAAUGUAAUGUCCAGCGUAUGACUCUCCGGUAAUAUAAAAAUCAUUCUUUGUGAACUGAGGGUGUUCCUUGAAAAAUGCCUGUCAUUGUAAAAAUUUAAGUUGAUCUUAUGUUUGCACAACAUCAUAGUCUAACAUAAAAUUUGUAGUUUAGAACCAUAGAUAGUUAUGUAAUGUCGUCUUUGAAUUUUAAAAUUAAAUAUAAGUACUACUAACUAACGAUGAAUCAAGUUUAACCACUUAAUUUCUCGUUAUAAAAAAAGUUUAACCACUUAAUUCAAGUGAUUAAUCAAUUAAUAAGGUACUGAACAAAUCAAGUUACCUGCAAGAAGUCAUACAAAUCGUUGCUAAUACUGUCUUCAUCAUGGCGAAUAUCAUCACUAACAUCGGUGGUGUAGCUGAAACCUGAUCCAAUGGGUUGGUCUACAAAUAUAAUAUUUGAUGCCUACAAAAGAGAAAGAAAAAAGUAUAUGUUGCAAGAUGAUUAUGUAUCAGUGAGAACUAAAGUGGAAAAAAGAAAAGGGAAUAAUGAAUAGCAGCUACCUUGUCCCAUCCAUAUUCAUUCCAAACAAGGGACAAGUUCUUGUCCUUUGAGAACUGAAAUGGUCCAUUUUCAUAAAACAAGGCAAUUUCACUACCGCAUCCAGGACCUCCGGUUAACCAUAUGAUGACAGGGUCAUCCUUACUGUUUCGAGAUUCAAAGAAAAAAUAGAACAUCCUGCAAUUGGCAUAACAAAUUGUUCAAUGGAAAUAUGUCCAUGCACACAUUAUUAUGAUGUGUGGAUAGAUAAUAUACAGAAAAGCAUAUUAGUGUCUGUCUGUCCACUUUUAAAAUAAAAAACAUUGAUUAAUAACCUUUUUUUUAGAGGAAUUUAUUAAUAAUCUUGAACUUUAUAAAAGAAAAAAGGGUAGAAAAUACAUUAAAAAAAAGCGCGCGUGCACACACAACAUAAAACAUUUACCUAGCAGCUUUGGAAUGAGGAAGACUAUAAUACCCUGCAUGAUGACCAAGUUCUUCAACAGAAUAACCAGAGUCAUCAAAACCGGGGAAAGUGAACUUCUUCUCCACAAUGUUUCCAUGGAGGACAUGAGGAUCAUUCUCUGGUAUGUUUAUGGAACUUUUAGGAAAAAGGUUAAGUCCUCUUAUGAGAGUUGAAGAAAGGAGAAUGUCAUUGUUUUUGGGAUGCAGUUGAAGAAAGGAGAGCGAAGGUGAAAUGAAGAAGAGGAAGUGCAACAACAUUGUAAAAGACAGACACAUUUUGAGGAACCUUAAAGAUGAUGCCAUGUUGUUUUGUUUUUGUUGAAAAAAUGGAAGAAAUGGAUGUGAAUUUAUAGUGCUUGCUCUACGCAUGCAAAGUUGCUUUAGUUUCAUCAUUAACGGAAAAGUUGAGUUGAGUAUCAAAGGCUUAACUCUAAACUUUUUUGAGACUUUCUUCAAAAAAAUUGAGACUAAAAAUAGAAAAGUUAGUUUCUUUUUCCAAUAAAGAAAAUUUCCAUAAACUACUAAACUUCAAUUCAGCUAAAAAUAAAAGUGUCAUUCAACUAAAAAUAAUCAUGAAGCUUUUGAUCAGUAUCCCGAAAUUCCUACAUGAAAGUCACUUUAAUUAGACUAUGUGGGCCAUUAUUACGUAUCAACUAUGUGGGCCAUUACUACGAAUCAAGUGUGUUGGAACAUUGGUGUGAUGUUGGAAGAAAAAUUGGAAGAUUAAACACCAAAUAAUUAUGAACCACAUACAUCAUUAAAUGAAUGAACCUAAAAAGUGAAUUUUGUUUAUAUUUUAAAACGGAGGGAGUACUUUGAUCUAAUGUUGAAAAAAUAGAGUGUGGGGAUCCCACAUAAAAUAGAACACACACAUUAGUAGUGUUUAAAUUGUGGUAUUUAAUUUUAAAUACUUGAUAAUAAUAAAAAUAAUAGUAAUUUUUAUUUUUAUUUGUGAAUAUCACUUCCUAUAAAUUUAGUUUAUGAUGGUUGUGAUAAGAAUAAGAAUUCAAUUGAAUUUCUUAUCUUUCCUUCAUUCAAAUUUAAUGAGUUUGUUUCCUCCACUUUUGUGGAUUUGUUUCUUUUUUUAUCUUAUCCACAAGUGUUGUUGAACUGAUUAAUGAAUAAAUUUCCUUUUGAUACUAUCCAUUAGAAUAACUGUUGCCGCAAUUUUUGCUAAAAUAAUUACAAAAUUUCUAUAUAAACAGAGGACUCCACUCGGUUCAAAAAUCACACAAAAGAGUUUAUAUUGAGUUGUCGAGAAUUCUUUCUCUCUUCUCCAUCCAGCUUCUGCUGACGAGCUAUUCUUCUCCUCAUCUCCUUUUUUCUAUCCCUUCGAAAAUAAGAGUGUUCUUAAGACCUUAGUCCCUAUUCAGUAUAAUGUCCAUUCGAAAUUAAGAAAGGUCUUAAAAACAUAGCCCUUUUGAUAACAUAUCUCCCUUAAGAAUAAAGAGUGCUUUUAAUAUCAUAGUCCCUUUUGGAACAAUAAUGUCCCGUCGUAAUUAAGAAUGAUCUUAAAAGUAUAUAAAUAUUCUUUCAAUAAUUUUUGAGGUGAAAUUAAAAAGUCGAAAUGGUGGUAUCACCAUAUUUGAGUGGUCGUAGUAUCAUCUUGAUAGUUUGGAGAACUUAAAGUUAGAAUGGACGUAACAUCAUAUUUGAGUGGUCUCAACACCAUUACAAAGUGGUAACAAUAUCAUAUUAAAGUGGUUUCAAUAUUAAAGAGUGGUCUUGGUAACCAUAUUUGAGAGUGUAAAUCUCGAACGGUUUUCUAUAGUAGUUAACCACACAGUUGUAGUUGGACUUGUUUUAUCCAGGAGGUGGCGUGGUUGAUAGUUUGCCUUGCACAACUUUGAACAGUGCCACAAAACGUCUUAAAGAGAACGACAUGGUCGUGACUCAAUCUAGUAACAACUUCGGUAGUUAUUCUUAUUUAAAAAAUAAUAAUUUGGAAAUCCAAAUACAACAGUUUGAAAAUCUAAAAACAACAAACUGCAUAUGAUACAAGUACUCAAAAGUUCAAGAUGCAUUGCAAUAAAGUAGCAAUAAAACACAUUGAUGAUUGAUCCGAAUUGGAUCUAGAGAUUUCAUCCGUGGGAAAGGGUCCAACAUCCCUUCGUAUGAAUUGACGGAAAUUGCACAUGUAAAUAUUCUGACGUUCAAGUAUAUAAGCAAGAAAAGUAAAAUAAUAGGUAAGUAAUGUGAGAAUCGUUUACAUUUGCCUCUAUCAUAAGAGGAUUGAGAGAUACGUGAGGAGCUGGGAUGUUUAUAACCGAGAUUGUAAUUGUAGAAACGUUUCCUUGACCUUCCGCCGUUUUCCUCGCCUCGAGCUUGACAAUUUUUACUAGUUAUUGCUAGCUUGAAGGAGAAGUGUUGGCCAAGUUUUGACAUUUUAGUUGGUCUAGAUCUCUGAUGGAUUGGCGUGGUGACUUCGCAUAUCUAAUGAUGACAUAAAAAAUGACGUCUUAGCCGAAACGUCGGAUUCUGUUGAGUCGCAGCAGACAAUUCGAAUAAUGUUGUCUUAACCGAAACUUUGGAUUUUGUUGAGUCUAGCGGAUAAUUUGAAGAAGAUAUUCUAUCUAAUUAUUAUUUUGUCGAGGAUGUAUGAGAACAAUCCAAUGAUGAUUCUAUUAGAAAAGAUAUUUGGUAUUAUAUUGUCGAAGACAUUUGAUGUUAUACCAAAGAGGAUUCCUUUGAAGAAAAAAAUAAACUUCAUUAUGUUGUGUCAAGGAGAAUAGUUGUCCUCCAACAAGAUGGUUAAAAAAUAUACUCUUCUUUCACGGUAACGUAUCUAUUUAGUUGAAUUAUUUCGUAACUUUUCAUUUGCAUUCGUAGAUUUGCAUGGUAUAAAUGAUUUUUUUUUGUUUUUGUUCUGGAGGGACAUUUGAAUCAUUCUCAUCAUUUUCUUCCGUUUCCUUCUAAAACUCUCUAUAGCUCAUUUGGCUGUUUCCCUUUUCCCAUUGUUAUGUCUAUUAAUCAUAAACUGAGUGCACCUCAUUCAUUAUUGAAUCAUUGUAAAAUAGAAAAAUGAUUACAACCUAAGUGAAGGAGGAGGAUACUCCUUUUAUAUAAGAAAAAGAUUAAUAGAAAACUAAUCACAAACUAAAAACAAACAAAACCGUAAAUUAGUUAGUGAGCCUUAAUCUUAUUCAUUGCCUAUAGUGUAUCUCGUUGAUUUGUUUGUAAUAGUAAAAUUUGAAGACAUUUGUAAUGAAGUUUACACAUUCGAUUUUCCAAUCACUGUUUAUAACUCUACAAGUGUAGAGAAAACCAUGAAGAGCAUAGUCUAAUCAAUUGGUAUUGAGAAUUUAAGAAAAAGUAGGAGCAAAAAUGCCAAAAAAUUGAGUGACUUGGGGAAAAAGAAAUGUAUUUUAUUCAUCCUUCCAAUGUUCACAAGGAAAUGCCAUUAAUGUGUAUACAAUAAGAUAAGAAUGUGAUUUUUGUUUUAAGAUGAGUGCAUUAUAUAGACGAGACAUUAUCUCCUCCCUUUGUCCUUAUCAGUUUCCCUUGCAUCCAAUCUUUUAACAUCUGAAGUGCAGCUUUUGGUUGAUCCAUAGGAACCAUGUGACCAGCCUCUUUCACCUAUUGUUAAAAAAAUAAGGAAGUUAAACACAGGCGAAUCAAUAACUACAGAGCACCGAUACAAUAUCAAUAGUGAGACAUGUAAACAUCAGUAACAAUUUGAGAAAAUAAAAAUGAUCGAAUGCAAAUGCUUGUCUCGAUGUCGAAUCAUGCAUUGAAAACCAAACACACAUUUAGUUUGAAGUGUCAGUGCUAUAUAGAUCAAUCGUCUAAUACACUAAAGAAUACAUCCUUCAACACAAACCUUGAGGAAAGCAAGAGGUCCGUGGCUUUUCAGAUCUCCUGCUUCUUCACUAUCAACCAAAUAUGGGGUCGUAGGAGACACCUUAAAUUCUUUUUGACCUGACCACGUCAUGGCAUCGACCCACCUUGAAUUCCCUGCCAAAAUGAGAAACACAUUUAUAAAUCUAACCAACAUAUUUGUGUAUUCUAUUUUGACACAAGCAAUUUUGGUUUCAAAUUAAUCAAACUUAUAAUUAAUGUGCUUCAGUUAAGGACAAAUUAUUUAAGAGAGCCGGACUUCAAAUUCUGAUUAGAUUUAUUGCAGAACUUUACUUACUUUCCACCCAAACACUUGAUUGCCCGGUUCCCCUUGGGAACUGGUGGACUAACACCAAAAAAGUAAUCGAACUUACCAAGCCAAUUGCAUAUGAGAUCUUCUUCUCCAGCAUACACAAGCACCUUGAUUCCAUCCUCCAGAAGAGCAGGAAUACCAACUUCAAGAUUUUUCAUCCAAUCCUGCAACAUGGCACUGUAUACUGUGCUACUGCAAGAAACAAAUUCCAAGUCCCCAACACCUAAAGCUUCCCUUACUGACUUCAUGUUCAAGAAUGUUUCCGCAUUUGAGAAGUCAUAACAAAGACUUCCCUCACAUUGCUUUCUAAUGUCAUAGUACUGCAUUAGGAAUAAACAUAAUGCAUUAGUGAAUCGAAACAACAUAAUUAUCAUACAAUCUUUGUCAAAUACUUUUAGUUCUUUUCUUUUUUGAUAUCAUACAUUAAUGUUGCCGGCUAUGUCCAUUAUCUGAUCAAAUAUUUCACUGCAAAUGCUUCUUGAAGUCAUGCAUGCGUCUCCACCUUUAGUGCCUAACAAAUCAAAUACAAACUAUUAGUGUCAAUAAGGAAAAAUAACAAGUAAAUGGCACAACAAAUUGGUAAAAUGUUCUAUUUAUGACCGAGAAGGGAGAAAACUUAUUAAAAUGUCAUACCACAAGAUUCUAUAGCCUUUUGGCAUCGUGGGAACAACUUGUUGAUGUUGGCAUGUUCAUUCUUAUUAAUUAGUCCAUUGUCUAAUGCAAAAUCUGGAUAUGCCUUGUACUGAAUUUCCGGAUUGGUUAAUCCGUUACCAAUAGCAAAACCCUGUUUAUUAUAAAGGUUUACAAAUUAGUUUACAUUGCAUUGAUACUGUUUUGGCAAAAGUUUACCUUUGCAUGAAUAUAAAGUUACAUUAUAUGACAAUGUAAUAAUAAUACCUUUAGAUUUAUGUGAAUUCCUUCUUUUGCUUUGUUUCCUUGGUGAACUCUAGAUGCAAAAGCUGGAAUGUAAUGUCCAGCGUAUGACUCUCCGGUAAUAUAAAAAUCAUUCUUUGUGAACUGAGGGUGUUCCUUGAAAAAUGCCUGUCAUUGUGAAAUUUAGAGAAUCUUAUGUAUGCACAACAUUAGAGUUUAACAUAAAAUUUGCAAUUUAGAGUUUAUGUAAUGUGAAUCAAGUUUAACCACUUAAUACAAGUGAAUAAUUCAAUAAAUAAAGUAAUCAUUUCAAAUAUUAUUGUGAUAUUAUUUUCUUUAUUCACUUAACAGAUCAAGUUACCUGCAAGAAAUCAUAUAGAUCAUUGCUAACACCGUCUUCAUCAUGUCGAACGUCACUAUCAUCAGUGGUAUAGCUGAAACCUGUUCCAGUGGGUUGGUCUACAAAUAUAAUAUUUGAUGCCUACAAACAAGAAAAUAUGUAUUGACACUAAUUAAAAACAACCUCAAUGCUAAUAAACAAUAACUUGAUUGUUUGAGUUUGUUUGUGUGGACUGGUAUAUGCAUAAAUAUCAUUACUUUUUUUUGUUGUUGUUGACACUCUACAUUGAUUAAACAUAGCAAAACAGGGAAAAUCUAUGUUUGGAUAAACAACUUAAUUAAGUACUUAUAUCAUAAGCGCUUGUCAUGUUAAUGCUUAUGCAUUAGCUAUUUUUACAAUAAAAGGUAAAUAAAGUCAAACAGUUUCAUAAGCUUUAGUUUGGAGCUUAUGAAAAUAAACUGAAAACCACUUAUAGAUAUGACCUCUCAAAAAAAACCUACAGAUAUGUCAUAAGUUGUUUCCAAAAAAAUUCUCAAACAGUCUCACAAUUGUUUAUGUCAGCAAUUAAGCGCAAAUAAGUCAAUCCAAACAUGUCAUUAUUGCAAGAUGAUCAUAUAUGAGUGAGAAAUAAAGUGGAAAAAGAAAAACAAAACAGAGAAUAAUUUAAUAGGUACCAUGUCCCAUCCAUAUUCAUUCCAAACAAGGGACAAGUUCUUAUCCUUGGAAAAUUUAAAAGGACCAUUUUCAUAGAACAUAGCAAUUUCACUGCUGCAUCCUGGCCCUCCAGUUAACCAUAUAACAACAGGGUCAUCCUUAGUGUUUCGAGAUUCAAAGAAAAAAUAGAACAUCCUGCAAUCGACAUAACAAAUUGUUCAAUGGAAACAUGUCUUCGCACACAUUAUUAUGAUGUGAGUUGACAAAAAACCAAUUAAUAUAAAUCAAUAGAGUUGUCAUCAAAUUCAUAUUUUUUAGUUUGAUCUUAGAAGUGAAGAUGUUGUAACAGAUAUUUCAAAUUAUGAAACUUUGACAUAUAUUUUGAUUAAGUUGAUACACGAGUAAUAACGACAUCAAAGACAAGAUAAAAAUAUAUGAUCAAACAAAUAUCCAAUACAUUAAACCAGAUCAAAUGAACCUAAGAAAUCCAAACUAUUCCAUUUUUAAUAAAUUCUUUUCUUGUUUACUUUCACUUUUAUUAUUUUUACUUUAUGCUUUCCAAGAACUAUAUUUUAUUCUGACUAAAGCUUUUCUUACUUUAUGCUCAGAUCAUUUUUUACCGCAAAAAAUUUACCUCAUAUUUCAUUCUAUUUUAUCUUAGUUUGGCCUAAAAUUAAAGGAUAGUCAUAAUCUUUUCUCCUUUUGAUCCAGAACAUACAACAUGAAGCCUUUACCUUGCAGCUUUGGAAUGAGGAAGACGAUAAUAGCCUGCAUGAUGACCAAGUUCUUCAACAGAAGCACCAGAGUCAACAAAACCAGGGAAAGUGAACUUCUUCUCCAUAAUAUUUCCAUGAAGAAAAUGAGGAUCAUUCUCUGGUGUGUUUAUGGAAUCUUUUGGAAAAAGAUUAAGCCCUCUUAUGAGAUUUUCUGCUUGUAAUUUUGGGUAGGAUGCAGUUGAAGAAAGGAGAAUGUCAUUGUUUGUGGGAUAAGCUGGAGAUGAGUAUGAAUGUGAAAUGAAGAGGAAGAACAUCAUAAAAGACAGACACAUUUUGAGGAACCUUAAAGAUGAUGCCAUGUUGCCUUGUUUUUGUUGAAAGAAUGAAAGAAAUGGAUGUGAAUUUAUAGUGCUUGUUCUACGUAUGCAAAAAGUUGAGUUGAGUAUGAGAGAGUUAACAGUUUCCAACAAUUUUCAGGUUGCUUUGUCUUUUGAAAUUAGCAUACAUGCAAUUAUAUUGAAUUGCAUUUCCACCUUAAAAAUUAAGUUAUUUGUUUUUAACUCUAAUUUCAAAAUCUUAUCCGGUCAAAAUAAUAAUAAUCAAUAAUAACCAUAUGGUUUGUCCGACGCUAAAUAUAGCCAUUUCUCUCGACCAGGAUUUAAACUUUGGUUCAUCAUGUUAUAGAAGUUUAGUCUCUUUUGGUAGACUAAACCCUUUGGAUAGUACAACUAUAGAGGUACGAUGAGCUUCGUCGGUGAAAUUGGAAACAGAACCGUCGGAAAACAGAAAUCGCUGGAGAAAUUGGAAACAGAACUGCCGGAAAACAGAAAUCGCAGAUUGGAAACAGAAUCGCCGGAAAACAGAAUCGCUGGAGAAAUUGGAAACAUAACCGUCAGAAAAUAGAAUCGCUGGAGAAAUUGGAAACAGAACCGCCGGAAAACAGGGUGCAAUUGGAGAAUCCCUGGAGAAAUUGGAAAACAGGGUGCGAUUGAAAACAGAACCGCGGGAAAACAGAAUCGCAAUCACGUGCAACCUCGCCGGUGAAAUCACGUCGCCAUGAACCUGGCCGGAUAAAUCAGGUCGGAGCGGCGAGCAAGGGUGAGAAUCACGUCGGCGUCGGAGCUACGAUGAGCUUCUGCGUGUGUGCGAUCAAAUCUGGUUGUGAAGUGUUUAUGCAGGAUGCAUAAGGAAAUGGCUUAUGCAUAAUAACUUGGACUCGUGAAAUUAUUUUUUAUUUUUUAUUUUCUAUUUGAUCUCUUAAAACAAGUUUUUUUUUUUUUUUGUGGUCGGGGUUUGAUCCCCGGACCUUGCAUAUAUUAUGCAUAUUUCAUAUCAACUGAGCUAAGCUCACAAGUACACCUUUAAAACAUGUUAGUUUUAAUUGGAAAAUAUUUUUUUUACAAUCUAACUAAUUUCAAAAAAUUUAACAAACACAAUCAAAAUCAUUAAUUUUUUCAUAUAAAAAGUUUCCGUCUAAUCACUGCGAGCUGUAGUUGUGAUAGUACACGUUUCAUUUUUUAAAAUAAAAACAAGUCUUUCUUUAAUUCUUUAAACUUUUUUUGGCACUAAAAAUAGAAAUGUUUCUUUUAUUUCUCAAUAAAGAAAUUUUUCUUUAAACUACUAAAAUUACAUGGCAAUGUUUUUUCUCAUGCCAAAUUUGUAAUGUCACUACGUAAAAUUCCGUAAACAAUAAUGUAAAAAAACGUGUCAUGCGUAGCUAAAAAGAAAAUCUUGAACAUGAUGUUUUGAGAUCAAUAUCAAGAGCUAUGUGAAAGCCACUUUAAUUAGUAUAGGUACCUUAAAUAGUUUUCCCGAGAUCAUAUGGAUUUACAAGUGAUAAAUUAUUACGUGAUUAAUUGUCAUUAGACAAAUUUGUAAAGAAAAAGGGUAUGUUAGAUGAUAAGUCAAAAGUUUAAGGUACUUUAUGGUCAAAAAUGUAUCUAAAGAUCUUUAAGUUUUUCAUUUUUUUUAAAGUGGUCUUUUAAGUUUUAAAAGUCUCAAACAAGUCAUUUUAGUUUUUGAAUCGUUUCAAACAAAUCUUUUUAAAGAAUGAUGGUGAUGAUUCAGAUGAUAGCAACAAAGAGCAUUAUCCACCAUUUGUCAUGCCUAAAAAGAUGACUAAUUUUAAGUGGAUGUUAGGAGCCAGAUUUGAUACCAAAGAUGAGUUCAAGGAAGCAAUUACCAACUAUGCUAUCUACAAUAGGACUUGUUUGAAACGAUUCAAAAACAAAAAGGACUAGUUUGGGACUUUUGAAACUUAAAGGACCACUUUGGGAAAAAUGAAAAACUUAAAGGACCUUUAGAUGCAUCUGACCAUACCUUAUAGUAAAGUAAAUAGUCAAAAAACAUCACAGUGAAGUAAUAUUAAAAUAAAAGGUUAAUUAAGUUUUUGGUCCCUAUAAAAAUCUGCAGUUUUGUUUUUAGUCCCUAUAAAAAAAAAUCACACUUUUUAGUCCCUACAAAAUUUUCCGUUUGUGUUUUUAGUCCCUGUUAAAUUAAAAUUUGUUUAAUUAUGCUUAAAAUUUUAAUUUUGUUAAUGAUUUUUUAGAUACUUGUUUAAAACAUUAUAAAAGGUUCCGCCACAAUAAAUUAACUCAAAAUUUUAUUUUUAGAUCCAAAUUUUCGUUAACUUUUUCUUGAAUUUUUAGCGUUUUAAAAAAAUUAUAUUUAAUUCAUUACAUGUUAAAAAAAUCUAAUUUUUUAUAAAAGAGAUUAUUAUAAUGUUCUUAACAUGUCUGUUAAAAAUCAUUUAAAAAUAUAAAAGUUUAAGUAUAAUUAAACAAAUUUCAAUUUAACAGGGACCAACACAUAUUUUUAGUCCUUGUAAAAUUAAAAUUUGCUUAAUUGUGCUUAAGCUUUUAAAUUUGUAACAUAUUUUUCACAUACUUACUUAGAAUAUUAUACAAAGUUGGCUUUUAGAAAAAAUUUAUUAUUAGGUCCAAAUUUUCAUUAAUAUAAUCUUAAAAAUUUGGCUUUUAGAAAAAUUCAUAUUUAAUUCAUUACAUGUUAAAAUACUAUUUUUUUUUUACAAAAGAGUGUCUUACGAUAUUAUGAACAUGUAUAUAAAAAAUCUUUCAAAAAUUUAGAAGUUUAAGCAUAAUUAAACAAAUUUUAAUUUAACAGGGACUAAAAACACUAACAAAAAAUUUUAAGGACUAAAAAGUGUGAUUUAUUUUUAUAGGAACUAAAAACAAAACUGCAAAUAUUUAUAGGGACCAAAAAUUUAAUUAAUCCUAAAAUAAAUUAGUGAUUAUGUUGAAAUUAUUUUUAAAUUAUCUUGUGACUGCACCAAAAAAAGUUUAAACCCCAAAUCAUUGUAUCAAAUAAAAAAAAUACAAAGAUAGAUGCAAUUACUUUUGUUUAUGUUUCUAAUCAAGGUUGCAUCUCAUGUUCUGUAUUUGUGAAGCUACUAGUAAAUGUAAAGUGUAGCGUGUACGAUAUGAGUGAGACAGAGUGGCGUACAAGAUCAUCAACACUUUGUAACGUAACAUCCUUGUCAAAUUACCAUAAUGUGCUGUAAACUUUUUUGUAUAGAAUAAAAAAUGAAAGAAUAAUGUCUUAAAAAUGAAAGAAUAACCUUUUCUACUUUUGAAUAUGACAAAAAAGAAAGUUGUUUGUUAAUACUUUAAAACAAAGAGACGUUUCUAACUCACCUCACUUUCUUAUCACAUUUCCUCUCUUAUGAUCAACCUAUCUACCCCAUUUUAGUUUUUCCUCAUCUUUAAGCAGUAAUAUCUGCAAAAACCAUCGUAUUUAAUGCACAUCAAUAGAGUGCAAUUAAACAACAAAUUGUGUCGCUAAUUCAUUAUAGAUGAUAAAGCAUUCCUUUUUUAAAAUAAGAGUCAUAGACUUUAUAAUAUUGAUAUGCAUGAUUUAUUUAACUCUUUAUAGAAAGUCCACAUUCUUUGGUGCAAGGAAGUCCAAAGUGUCUAAAACAAAUAGGAUAGAAAGCAUGAUGAUUAUUAUAACAUUUUUUCUCGUGUCCGACCACUUUGCUUGAAACGUUUUUAGGGUUGUUGUCCUAGAGUAAAAAAAACCAAACCGCAAUCCCAAAAGUGGAGAAGCUCCUUAAUUACACCAGAAUAUCAAUUGGCAUAAAUGUCAAUCUUCCCUCAUGUAGGUCGAUCAAGAAGUUCGCAUGCCCCUCUUUCUUCAUAGAUACUUCCAUUGACCUUAAUAUUUCAAAAAGAACAUCCCUAACAAAGUCAUGCAUUGAAGUCGAAAGCUCCUUACAAUGAAUUGUGUGCUCCCCAAAGUAUAUAGGCACGCCUUACUGAAAACAUGUCAUACCUCAUUAAUAAGAAAUAAGGGAACCAUGAGACAAUAUCUAAGGAUAGUACGGUAUUGUACUUGUGGCAUUUUUCAACCUAACUCAUCAAUAGGGGAUAGCUAGAAGAAAAUCAUGAGCAUGUCUGCUUGCAAACACGCAAAAACGAUUUUCUGUCUGGUGGUCAUGUUAAACUUUACUUUCAUAUCCUAAACACUUUUACUAAAAAGGACAUGUGUCAAAACAAGUUGGACUUUAGUAGGGAUGAUAUUCUUGUUUGUAAAACUGUUAAAAUUAAAAUCUAAAAUUGUACCACGAAGACCAUCCAAAACACAGUCAAAAUGAGAGUCCAUACACUUAUCGCAUUCUCUCUCGGUAUAUAUGAUCUUGUAGCACCCAAUAUUCCAUCUUGGAAGCCAUAGAAGUGUACGAGGAAACCUGUUAUACCGCCGAGUACAAACCAAAUCCCAACUCUAAUAAACAGAUCGAAGCCAUCCUGCAUUGAAGGUCCUCAAAGAAAGGACCUCUACCAAUCACAAUAUAUUCAACCACCCUCCUAAUGAUAAAAAAAAAACCACCGGAAAUUUCAGCUAGCUAAAUUUAUAUGAUAUUUAAUAUUGAUAACGUAAUGACAUGCCUCACCAAUUUUGGACAAAUGUACUCCUGCAGUAAAAGUGCCACAUAAGCAACCACGGUCGUGAAUUUCAAAAGUAAAAAGGACCCAGUAACACAAAUAUGUCAAGAUGAUUCAAUGAGAAAAACUAAACAUCCAAAACAUUUGGUUUUUGAAAUUAUACCCAUUAAUGAUUUAUUUUUGUUUUGUUUGUUCAAGUUAUUUGACUAUGGUUUCUAUCCAACAUGGUUGAUGAAACUAUUUCAAAACCUAUGGUGAUUGUUGAGUUUUUCUCGUAUAAACUUGUGUAUUUAAUUUUUUUUGUUAUAUCAAACAUCAAGAUUCACAUGCAAACUUGAUUUCAUCAUCGACACUGAAUUCACUUUAGAUCAUGAAUUUAUAUUUCUCAUUAAUGUUUUUUAUUCAAACAACAACUAUGUUUGUUUGGUAUAUUGAUUACAAAUCAACAACUAUCUUUACAUAUUCUAGUUAUACACGUAACAUAGUUAAAACAAAGUUACACUACAAAACAAGCUUACAAACGACAACACAUACAUAACACAUUCCAAUUCAAUUUAAUUAAAUUUACCUCAAAACAUAAUCAUAGAACAAAUAAUACCAAUUUUCUUUAUUUUCAAUUACACAAAAACAUAACCACACUACAAACCAAGUUUACAAAUUACAACACACACACACACACAACACAUUUAAAUAUAAUUUCUUUACAUUUACACCAAAACAUAAUCACAGUACAAAUAACAUAUUUUCAAUUUCUUUACAUUUACACUAAAAUAUAACCUAACUACAACCCAAGUUUACAAAUUACAAUACACACAUAACAUAUUUAAAUAUAAUUUCUUUACAUUUACACCAAAACUUAAUCACAAUACAAAUAACACAAAUUCAAUUUUUAUACAUUUACACCAAAACCAAGUUCACAAAUUACAACACACACUUCACACAUUUCAAUUCAAUUUCUUUACAUUUAUACCAAAAUAUAAUCACAAUAUAAAUAACAUCAAUUCAAUAUCUUUACAUAUUCUAGCUAUACAUGUAGCACAGUUGACACUAUUUUUAUUUAUCCAUAAUUUUAUUUACUUAUAUAUAUGUAUAUAAUCAUAUCUUCACAAUAAAUUUUCAAAAUAUCAACCUUAAAGCUUUAGGUUUGUUUUGUAGCAUCCACAGAAACAAUCAAAUUUUGUAUGGGAUGAAAACAUGUCCUAUGCACAGGAAGAUGAUGACCCUGCAACUCAUGCUUAACUUCAAAACUGGGGCAAUCUUCCUCGAGAAAGGAGAAAGGUCACAAAUGCAGACAAUAGUAUUCAUGGAAACGGAGGGUAUAAGGUCUUUACUUUGGUGAAAAUUCGUCGAUGUGACUUAGCCAGCUUGAGCAAGUAAAGUGGACAUGCAAGUGCCUUCUGUGGUUCUAAAUGCUGAUAGCUUUGUCGAAGCUUGCGCUCAAAAACGAUGGACAGUUCUUAUGAAACUCAAGAGUAAUUAUUGAUUCUUUGUGUCCUAGAAAAGUUAAAGAACAACUGUGAGUAUCGACUUCUCAUACCUUAAUCUUGCAAUCAUCUCCUGCCAUUAUUAACAUACAAAAAGUAGACAAGUAUUAGUAUAGUUUGACUUAGAAGCACUUGCUCAAGUAACACACUCCAAACAUCUGCAGCUAUUGCAAUCAUUGUUGCAACUUACAGACAAAUCGAAAUUGAAUAAUACUGACUUCUCUUUGGUUGUUAAAUUAUCAACAAAAAAAAAUGUCUUACUUGCAUUGACUCUAAUUUCAUUUCUACUCAAUCAACUUCCAUCAAUGAGGUAUUCUCAAGACAAUCACAAUCAUGUUAGCCCCAUAUCAUAAAAAACAAAUAAAGUAAUAAAAUUACAAGAGCGGAGGUAAUAAAAUCAUCACAUGGAAGGUAGAAAAAUGUAUUAAAAUCUAUUAAAAUUACAAAAAAUAAACAUAAAAAAGAGAGGGAUGACAAUUAGAUCACAUAUAUCAUCACAAUUAAGGAAAUUCAUAGCACGAACAACACAAUGUGCGCUUCAAACUCAUCAAUGACGUAUUUUGUUGUAUAAUUUCACUCCUGAAUCAUUGCAAUUUUCAAACCAGCCAAGAUUCACUUCCUCUUCGGAUGGAGACAAAGUCCCUUCACACACCACACUUCAUUUCUAUCUCCUUCUCCUUUUUCGUCAACACCUCUCUUAGCAUCGUCUUUCUUAACACCUCUCUUAUGCAGCCUAAUUAUUAGUUUUAACAAACAACUUUCAUUUAUAAUCUAUAUUAUAUAUAAAGAAAAUAGGCCAUUUUAGGAUAGCUUUUUCUUCUUGGGAUAUCUUUUUCUUCUUCCAAUUACACUCUUAAGCAAAUUUGAUUAUAAUAAAGCUAUUUUGUUGACAUCAUUCAAAAAGAUAAGAAUUUGUUAUAUAUUUUUUUGACAAAAUUUGUUAUAUUUUUUUUAAAGAUAUUAUAUUUGUAAUAUUGUUGGUAUCAUUGAAAAAGAUAAGUAUAGUUUGGUACAAUAUGAAAAGAAAAAUAUUUAUUAUCUAUACCAAUAAUUUUAAUCAAAAUUUCAUUAAAACUAUUGUUCGUAAUUUAUACGCAUUAGCGCAAUAAGAAGAUCCGACAAACGAGCAAGGAGUGCAUGUUUAAACGCUAAUAAUAACAAUAAUAAUAAACCAAUUUUAAUAACAAUAAGAAUAUUAUUAAAUUUGUUCCUGGGAGGGGAGAACUCCCUCUCACCUUACAUAUCGCCUCUCUCUCUCCUUCCCCACACCAGAUGAUCCCCUCCUCUGCCGUCUCCCUAUACUCCCUCGUUCAACCCUUCCCUCACCACCCCAACAUAACUCCCCCUCUCCCUCACCUUCACGAGCUCCUUAACACCCCCCUCUCACCACUCCUUUCCCAUCUCUCACACUUUUUGCUCCCUCGACACUCUAAUCAUCCUUUACAAACUCCCUCACCCGAGACACCCUCUCCUUCUACCCCUCCUUAGGAUAUUCAAACCGAUCAAAUCUUGCUACCUUUGCAAAAAUCCAACAAUUACCAAACCAUAUACAUUAUUCAAAGCUUUAGAUAAUUUUCUUACAUCUCUUACAUUGCAGAAACGGACAAAACCAUACACAUGGAAGUUGACUUUGCACUUCUUAGUCAAGUACACAUCCUCCAAUAUACCAUAUACUUCGAAACCUUGACAUAAAUGAAAAUAGAGAAUAUGUUUUGGCACAAUACUAUAGUAAAAGCAAACAAAAUUCUUAAACUCUGAACCAACAUGAUCUUCCUUUGCAUGCUGCCGAUGAUGAGACUAGAGCUGUCAAAACGGGCGGCCCGGCCCGGCCGGGCCAAGGGCUUUUAAGGGCCGGGCUAAAAAGCCCGGUUUGAAUAUGGGCUGCAAAAAAUGAGCCCGAGCCCGGCCCUAUACGGGCUCCCGGGCUAACGGGUCGGCCCUGACCCGUAUUUUUUCCUUCCCUUUUCCAUUCUUUUAAGUACGGAACAUACAUAAAUAUGCCGGGCUAACGGGCCAGCCCGGGCCCGUAUCAGUCUCUCACACACACAGACCACAAAAAAAAAAAAAAAAACAGUUGUAUUUUUUGCGGGCUUCCGGGCAGCCCGGAGCCCGGACGGGCUAGCCCUAACGGGCCAAGGGCUUUUACGGGCCAGGCUAAAAAGCCCUCUUCAAUUUCGGGCUCCAAUUAUUCGGCUCAAGCCCUACAUUUUAUUCGGGCUUUCGUUUGACAGCUCUAGAUGAGACCUUGUCGAUUGAAAUCACGGCCUUGACCAAACUCUCUAACAUCAACUCGGGUCGUAUGGAAAGCAUAUGUAGUUGUUUUGAAUCAAGCCCGAAGUCAACAUUAUCAAAUUGCAUAUCACUGAUCUUUUAAAAUGCACGAAACAAACCUAACGCUUCACCCACAACACAACGGAGAAACACAAUAUUUUGGCCAAAACAAACUUACCCUUGUCAAAUGGUAUGAUACGGUAACAACAUUUAAAAAUUAUACAAAUAAAAAAAAAUCAAAACAAAUUUCCAAAUCCUUAUUUGGCCAAUACAAUAAACUUUACAAAUAAGUCAAACUGCAAUAUUUGAUUUGAAAACUAAUAAAGAAGAAAAAUCACCGAAAUCAAAUUAGGAUUCAAAGUCAGCCAUAUUAGCAACAUGAACUACAAAACUGGUUGUCAAGAUUCAAAUAUAUUAUGGGUGUGUUUGGUAAAAAAAAGCUAUAAGCUAGCUGAUAGCUGAAAAGCUAGUUUAUAGCUGAAAAGUUAGCUGAUUAAAAUUAAAAGUGUUUGGUAAAAUUAGCUGUUGAAGUGACUAUAAAUAUAAAAUGACAUAAAAGGACAUGCUUGUUUAAUUUUUUCUAAUAUCAUAUAUAUAAUUUUUAUUACUUAACACAUUUAUUUUUAAAUAUUUAAAUAUAUUUCAAAUUAUUUUCAUCUCCAAAAUAAUAAAUUAUUUAUGAAUUCAAUCAAAUUUUUUUAUUUAACAAUUUUAUUUUAUUUUUAUGAAUUUUAUUUAACUAAACUUGCUUCACUAUUAUAAAUUCUAUAUAAAAUUAUAUAUUAUAUGAAUUAUGAGCAAAGUAAAAAAAAACAAAAAAGUGGACAAGAAAAUUUAAAAAGUCAUACAUGAUAAACAUGGUUAGUUUAAGAAGAUAGUGGGUAGUUUUUUUUUUUUUUUUAUUAUAAUAGAAUAAAAUUAAAUUAAGAAAAGGUUAAAAUGGAAAGAGAGUAUAAAAAGCUACAAACUAUAAGCUAAAAAGCUACUUGGAUUAGCUUCUUAAAAAACGCUAUAAGCUAGUGAGAAAAGCUUUUUACCAAACACAUCUCAUUUUAUCAAAACAAGCUUAUAAGCUAGUCCAACAAGCUAUAAACUAGCUUUUUGUGUUACCAAACACAGCCUAUAACAAAUAUAAAUAUGUAUACAACCCUUAAAAAAACAUGAAUACAAUAUGAUAGAUCUAAUGUCAACUUUAAAGAAGGGAAACGUUAUCCUUAUAUUAGAUUUCAAAUUUCCCAAAAAGAAAAUAAAAAACAAAGCAUUGAAGCAUUUUUUGUUGGAAUAAUUAAUAGCAUGUUCCAACAAUUUUACAUAUGAACUUCCACAUUAUUUCAGCCGUAAUGGUAGAUGAAGGCUGCACAAUUCUAUCCACUUAGAAUAGUUUAUGACAACAACGAUAAAUUUCAGUGGACUUAUACUUGUGGGAAUGGCUCAAGAAUGUCGAGCCCUAAAUACUAGAAGGUCAAGUUGUAAUGAUCAGGAGAACCUCAGGUGGACAAUGUGAUUGGUUGAUGAACCUCUAACAUUUGUCACACUUCUAAACAAUAACUCUACGGUCUUCAUAAUAAGGUAUUGUUGUUCGACUGAAAGAUCACAACCUAUAAAACAAUAAAAUGUAAAGUAAAAUAUGAGGUGUGACGUAAUCACUGAACUAAGUAAUUAUCCGCAUGAUUACACAAUUCCUCCAAAAUACAACAGGUUCUUCCUUACAAUAAUCAUACCGAGACUAUCAAAACACGAGGAAAACCUCUCCCUAUUUAAAAGGUAAUUUUAUUUAUAAUGAUGAUGAUGAUGAUGACACUAACGAAUGAGAAGUUUAUGAAAAGAAAAGUAAUGUACACUAUGAGCAAAAAUCAAGAUUACUUAGAAAAAGUACCAAGGCAAAUUCAUUUGGCACAUUAAAGGCAUAUGACCGUUUUCCUAUGUCGAAAUUGUUAAACUGAGAUUUCACUUUUUGUGUGUGAGUUUAUGAUGACUUUGCCAUUUUUUUUAUGUAUCAAAAAAAUAAUAUUGUGUGGGUCAAUAUUAUUAUAAAUAGAAUAGGAAAUGUCUUCGUGAAUUUAACUCGUUGAUAAAGACAAUAUAUAUUAUAUGUAAGGGCCGAAGUUCAAACCCCGACCAUCACAAAAAAAAAAAAAAAAAGACUUUUGCAAAUAUCUUCGAUACACAAGUAUAGUCUAAUAAUAUCCUAACCAAAAGAAUUUUUCAGCCAAAGUUCUUGCCACAAAUUCCUUCAUGUAUUUCAUGAUCACAUACUGUGUUUCAUGUUCUUUAUGGCACAAUAGUAAAGUUUGGGAAAAUCUCCUCCUGUAUAACUUACCAGUAAUGAUCAUGUAUGUCAUGCAUCACGUCACUUGUUUUGCUUCAUGUUCUUUAAGGUAGGAUUUGAGCAUUAUUUUGAAAUAGGAGUAUAGCGUAUCCUGCUGUUUGUACUCGUUGCGGCCUUCAUGACACGACGUCCUUUCAUUGUGUUCGUGAUUGUAAUUUGUCUAGAACCAUUCGGCAUCACAUCGGGUUCUCUAGCCCGAAUUUUUUGUAGGUUAUGGAUGCUCAUCACAUCGGGUUCUCUAGCCCGGAUUUUUUCGGAUGUUUAUGAUUGGCUCAAGGGGUGUUCUAAGGGUUCUCUAGCUUACUUGUUCUCAACAGGUGUUUGGUGGUCUUGGAGAGGCACCGUAAUUUGAUGUGUUUAAACAAUGAAACUUGGUCUUUAAACCGCCUCUCCUUUAACAUUCAGAAUACAGUGGAAGUCCUCAAGUCAAGCUACUUUCCUUGUGCUAAUGUUGCUCCUACCGAGUUAUUCAUCAAAUGGAACGGCAACAAUCAGUGGCGUUGCCAGGACCCUGGUUCAGGGGAUGCAAACUUUUUUUUUUUUGUUAACAUUGCCAGAGUGAUAAAUUCCACAUAAAAAUCCACACACAGAGGAUAUAAAUGGUUAAAUCAUGCUUAAACACGAAUAACCACAAAGAAUGUGAAGCUUAACAAUCUUGACAUUGAUGGUUAAAUCAGGCUCUAAUAUACGAGUGUAAACAUUUUUUUGUCAAGUUUUAAUGACAAAAAUUUCGCUUCUAAAAGUGAAUAAGCGAAGAAUCUGAGGUUCGAACCUCGUACCUUGCAUACUGCAAUACCUCUAUCAGCUGAGUUAAACUCAUGCGACUGUGUAAACUUUUUAACAUCAAUUAAUAAUUAUUAUAAUGUAUAUAAAUUAAAACAUAUCUUCGUGAGCUUAGCUCAGUUGGUAGGAAUAUUGCAUUUUAUAUGCAGGGGCCGGGGUUCGAACACCGGACACUCCAAUUCUCCACAACUUAAUUGUAUGAGCUCUAGACACUAAGCUACUUGACCUAAAAAAAUAAAACAUACAUUUAAAUUAUGAAAUUUUAGUAUAUGUUUAUUAAAUUAGCUAGAACAUUUUUUUAAAAGGAAAACUAUCUAGUGUCGAAUUUUAGUUAUAUAUGUUUGUCAAAUUGCGAUAACCUUAGAAUAUAAUCAUUUUUACAAUUUUAUAAUAAUAAUUUAAUAAAAUUCGAAUAAUGCACAUCUCACUGACACAAUCCAUUCGAUCAAAUAAAAUGUAAUGGAAGGCAGUCAUUUACACAGUUCAAUGAGAGAGCAAAGACAGAGGGCUCAUAGUUAAAUUUUCAGGGGGUUCAUUCAACAAAAAGUUAGAAAAUUAGGUGCAACUAUAAAAUUUGAGGGGAUGCAGCUGCAUCCCCUAAGCCCAACGUGGGUCCGCCACUGGCAACAAUUAUCCUUGUGCCAUCCUGAAUGUAGAUGGUAGUUGUCUUUCAGGCUGGUUUUGGGGGAGUCAUAAGAAAUAAUGAUGGAUCGUUUUUGAGGUGCCAUUCUAGAUUCUUUUGAUAUUUUGCUCGUUAAGUUGUUAACAAUUUACCAAGGUUUGAUAUUGGCCAAGAAUCUGGGUAUCAUUGAGUUUAUUUAUUACUAUAAUUCACUUCACUGCAUCAACCUCAUCGAUGAUCUCAUUGUGAAGUACCAUGUCUAUGUUGUGUUUAUUCAAGACAUAAAAGAAUAGCUUUUUUAAACAAAAAAUAUCACUAUUUAUCACAUCUUAGAGAAGGGAAUCAAUGUGCAGAUUUCUUGGCAAAACUUGAGCUUUCUCAAACAACGAUCUCUUAAUCCAUGCUUCUCUUCCGGAAGACUUGUUUAAUCUUCUUUGGAAUGAUGCUUUAGAAACUUUCUGCCUUUGUUUUUGUUUUGUUUGUUGUUUUAACCUUGUAACCAAAAACUAAUGAUAGAGAAAAAAAACGACUUUAAAUACUUUUACCACGGUCAAAGGAAUAAAGGAUGAUUAUCUUUUCCUAACAAUGUAUAGACAAACCAAUAAAUUAUUUAGAGCCAUGGGUCUUUGAAUUUGAUUACUUGGGCAAUUAAUUUCAAAUUAUUGCAUUUUACUUCAGCUAGUGAAGAUUAUCAAUAAUAACAAAUUUCACCAUACGGAGAAGGCUCAUGUGGGAGUCAAUUCUAAACCUCUACGUUGUUUGCGGAUUGGGAGAUUUGAAAAGUAUAGACCACAUGGUCCCUAAAAUUAUUUACACAAAAUGUUCCCAUAGAUUUUGAAGUCUCAAUAUCUCUUCUCACUUUUUGGUUGUAAAUUUUGAUUGUAUAAAGUAACAUGCAUGGUGCAUAAACUUUACUAGAACACUACGUACGUGUGAUAUUUGCAUCAUAGUCCAAGAGAUCUAUAAAUUUCGAUUGGUGUAAGCAAAAACAUACAUAUAUGGAAAAGACUUUAUGCGUAAGCAAUAAAAUAAUGACAUCGUUAUUAUUAAGAAAAGGUUUGGAGAUUAAAAAGUAUACCAUUAUAUAUCAAAAGAAUUGUAGAUAAUUCAACAUCUACGAAUUAUAUAGUUCCUCUAAAAAAUAAAAAAUAAAAUCAUAUGUACUUGUCAUCAUAGGUUCCAUAACUCCUAUCCGUAAUGUAGUGUAUAAGAGUUUAAUUUGUCUGCCUGAUAGAGAUUUUUCCCGCACAACGUCCAAUUAGAUCUUAUGAUGGUAGUUUAACUGAUUUGAAUUAAUGGAUAUUGAGUUGAAGAUUUUAAGUUUAAAUUCGGAAGAAUGAAAAAAAUUAAUCUAACUAUUAACAUUUGUCGUUUGGAAGAAGAAAAAAAUGAAUGAUCAAAUUACACCGAUAUAAAUGUUACAUCAUUUUACUCUGUAUAUAUUUUUUCUAAUUUGACAGUCGUAUUGUAAGUUUAUAUCAUCUAAAUAUUUAAAAUUAUUUCAUGUUAUUAAUACUCAUUGAGAUUGAGGGUGUAUGCAUUUUUAUCAAACACCGUUAAUUUUGAUAGGUCUCAGUAACAUAGAAAAUUAUGUUAUACACAUAGAAAUUUAUAUAGAUGAUCAGGGUCGUACCAAUCAAAGUGAAGAUCUGACUCACAUAGUAAAAUUGGGCCCUUAAUAAAAUAAAAACAAUUUUUUUUUAAAAAAAGAACAAUCUUCUAUCUAAUUGUAAAUAACAUUCAUAAACAUGAAAAAAAUAUUCAUCAUGUAACUAAUAAAAGAAAAUCAUAUUCUAAUCAAUGACAUAAAAUAUAACUUCAAAAUAAUAUUUUCAUGAUCCUUCUCACAAAUAAUCCAAAAGAGAAAUCCUCGAGGACAUUUUUUUUUCCUUCUUCAACGCCUCCUGUAGUUAACUCUAGGAGAAUCUUUUUCGGUCAAAAGAUAUAUUGAGAGAGUCUAAAAUGAAAUCUUCUAAAUAAUUGAUGAGGGUCAUUGGGUCCACACAUAUAAUAAAUUUGUUGAGGCCUCAAUAUUUGAAGACUCAGUUCCGUAGAGCUGUUUACACCUUCUCAAAAACGUCUGUGUGGAUGAUUUAUAUGAUAUAAACUUAAAAUUCAACAAUCAAAUAUGAAAAAUAUAAAUUAAGUAAAAUGAUAUUGAAUGAUUUAACAUUGAUAUAAUAUUAUAUCGGCAUAGUAUGAAAUCUAUUAUCUCUUCAAAAAAAAAAUGAAAUCUAUUAUCUAUUAUAUUGCAAUACCUCUUUCUAAAAUAUAAAAAUGUGAAAUCUGGUUGGACGUAUGUAUAGUAGUGUGUACAAAAAAUAAGUUCAUUAGGAGUACACACACGACGGUCAUUUAUAGCAAUAGGCAUUACAACUUGUAGAGAGAAAAAAACAUUUACAUAAGUGGAAUACCUUUUCGUGAAGACAAAAGGAUUGUCAAUUAUCUUGCACCAUAAUUCACAAACAUGGAAAAUGAAAUGCACCAUAAUUCAUAAAGCUAAACUUUUUUCUUUGGUUUCAUACACAGAUAUAUACACUAAUUUAGAUACAUUUAGAUUUUUGUUAAUUUUCUGUCAUUGGCUUGAUAUGCAAAGUCUUGAUUAUAACUGAAUGGGUUAGGUUUCUCAACUAUGUGAUAAUGGUCCUACCAAGCACCAAGAAACACAAGAAAAGAAAAAGUUAAUUUGCAAUUUUAGUUGCUCCCUAGUUCUAUAUGUUAUCCUAUUUGCUCCUAUAUAUAUACUAGAUAAUUUAGCAAUCCAAAAACUACUUGCUGAUCUUCAUUUCUUCUUUUGGUAUGAAUUAGACAUCCAUUUUGGCGUGACUGUGGAGGAGACUAAUCUCAUGAAGCAACACGAACAACAAAAUUGUAUUUUUUUUUUUAACUCAUGACCAACAAAAUUGUAUUUUUUUGGUGUUGAAUUUGAACUCAGAUGAUUGAUUAAGCGGAAAAAUAUUUGUAUCAUCUAAUUUGAAGUGUCUUUAUGACACUUUUUAAGAAGUUUAAAAAUGAAGUUUUGUCUUUAAAAUGAUGUAUUCAACACAUUGAAAGUUUAAAAAUUAAAUUUUUUCUUUAUAAAACUUGUAAAUUAUUUUUAUUUUUAAAUAUUUAACAAGUGUCUUUAAGACGUACACAUUAAAAAAUGGCACUAGGUGGCAAUUAGUCAACACCCUUUAUAGGUAAAUGGUGGUUGAUCAAUUAUGCACUCGCAUAACUUAAUCCGCAUUUUGCUAACUACUACAAUAAAUCCUUUCUUUGAAGCUCACAAAAUUACCGUUACAUGUUAUCUCUAUAUCUUUAUGUUGUUAAUAUAAUCCAGUUUUGCUUGUUAAAAAAAAAGUUAUUGAGAUUUGUUAUUGAUCUUUAUUAUGAAUUAUGAUCAACGAAAGAACACUCAAAGUUUUAUUGUACAUAUAGAUAGAAAAUUAUCAAACCCAUUGAUCUUAGAGGCACAGUGAUGAAAUUGCAGAAUUAAAACAUAGGAGUUGCUAAUUAAGCAUUGAGGACUGAAGUGAAGAGGCUUCAAGUAGAUAUGUCAUAUAUAUCACAAUAUUAACAUCUCAAACAUAGGGGUUGUGGUCGUUAUAAGUUGCUCAAUUAAUGUUGUUGACUAAAUCCCCUAGCUGCCAAUUAUCAAUCCCCCAGUGAGUAUCAAAUUUGAACUCUACUAAAUAUGAAUAAACAUUAAAAAUGUUCAAGUAUAUAUGAUAUAUUAUACAAAGAUUUGUUAAGGCUAAUGGUUCAUACCUAAACUUAUAUUAUGUCAUUGUAGGCUCUGUUUGAUAAAAAUAGCGGAUAGCUGAUAGCUUAUAGUUUAUAGCUGAUGACUGAUAGCUGAUGACUGAUAAGCUAGUUGAAGUGUUUGAUAAAAUUAGCGGUUCAACUAGCUUAUAAACGUAAAAUGACAUAAAAGGGUAUUUUUAAUUCAUUAUAAAAUUUAUAUCAAUUGAUAUUUAAAAUUUCAUAGUUUAAACAUAGUAAUCUAAAUGUCUUUCAUAUGUUAUUUUUAAAUUCAUAAAUUGGCUAAUGUUUUAUUUAAAAUUGAUUUUAUUUCAGUUUUUAGACUUUAUAAAAAAAAUUAAACAAAACCUUUAAAAAAAAUUAAUUGUUAUCCUCUAAAACAAAAUUAAACGUAUUGAUCCAAAAUCAAACAAAAUUUUGUUUUUAGACUUAAAAAACAAAAUUAAACAUGUAAUAUGAUUUAUUUAGGUAAACGUAACAUAUAUUUUUUUAAAGAAAAAUGUAGUUUUUAUUUUUGUAAACAUGAGCAUAUAUUUUUGUAAAAAAAAAAUAAAAGCGUGAGCAUAUAUAUAUUUAGUUAUAGUGAAAUCUAGGAUUAAAAGUGCUAUGUUUUUCUUUAACAUAGUUAUUUAUUACAAAGGGUAGAUAUGGAUUUUUGUUAAAUUGAUAAGGGUAAAAAUGAGACAAAAAAUGAGAAGCUAUAAGCUCAAACGCUACUUGGAAUAGCUUCUGAAAAAUAGCUUAUAAGCUCAUGAAAUAAGCUAUAAGCUCAUGGUGAAAAAGUGUUACCAAACAGAACUUUUUUUGUCAAAUGAGCUUAUAAACUAUAAGCUAUAAGCUAAUUUAGGUGUCUUACCAAUCAGUGCCGUAGUAUAUCUCACAUAUAUAGAGGUCCCACAUGAGCGAAUAGUGCAUAUUUUUAAAUAAGAUUGUCAAUAAUAAUAUAUACAUACGAGUAGUUCAACUCAUUCGAGUUAUAAGAGUUAAAAAGUUGAAAGACUAUAUUCAAAUCUUGAUGGUCGAGAAAGUAGUAAUGUAACAACUAAUUAUUAACAUGGACCGAUUUAAAAGAAAAUAGGAGCGCUCUUGCUUCUACACUAAAAUUUGAGCUCAUGGUAAAAGUAUAUGUGCAUAAUCUUAAAUAGGAAGAGACCUAUCAGUUCACAAAAAAAGUAUGUGUAUAAGGAACCAAACCAAUGUCACUGACAAAACUAUAAGGGUAUAUUUCCUGAUUCAUAUUUUCCUUCCCAAAAUUGAUGUAGGAUAAAAAACAUUAGUUCCACUUGUAAAGGAAGUUCCAUAUCAAGAAUAAACAAAAAAUUAAAGGUCCACAUCAAAGGUUAAACUGUUUCCCCCUCUUUGUUUAUUAUCAAAAACCUCAUAAAAUUUUGUCCCCAAGUAAACUCCCCAAUCAACUAAGUAAUCACCAUUUUUAGUAACAUGAUGCCUCAAAAUCUCUUUAUAUAAAUCAACUGUGUAGUCAUAAUCUUUUCAUGAGCAGAUCACCAACCCUGCCUCUAAUUUUCUUGCCAUCAUCACUCUGUAUGGCUCCUCUCUUCUCUCUUUUCUUCUCAUUCUUGAUGUGUAGUCGUAAUGCUGGGGGUGCACCAUCACCAGGGUACUACCCUAGUUCCAAAGUAAGCACUAUUAGCUUUGAUCAAGAAUUUAGAAAUCUAUGGGGAGCUCAGCAUCAGAAACUAGACCAUGGAUCAUUAUCAAUCUGGCUUGACUCUACCACAGGUAUAUGAAAUCAAAUGUCUCAAAUCAUCUACCAAGUUCACCUAAGUGAAGGGACAUAUAUACAUAAUCAUUAACUCGAAAAAUAACUCUUGAAAUUUCAAGCAUUUCAUAAUUUGUCGCAUGUGUACAUAAAUUUUGUUACAAUAUUAAUUUCUUUCAUCUUUGCACUAUGUAUUACUCUUCUCAAUUUUAGAUGAGCCAAAUAUGAUUCUAAAUUUGUUAAUUGCGUUCUAAACUCUUGAUGAAGUACCUUGUCGCACACGUGUUCCUACUUAAUAUAAUUUGAGAAAUUAGUCUCUGCAACUACUUACAUAGUACAUACCAUAUAAUGCAAAAAUCUAUUAUUAUUUUAGUAUGGAUUCUUACCACUUCUAAGCAUUUCUUUGCAACACAGGGAGUGGAUUCAAGUCAUAUCACUCUUAUAAAUCUGGAUAUUUUGGUACUGCGGUUAAGCUUCAACCAGGUUAUACUGCAGGAGUCAAUACAAAUUUAUAUGUGAGGAUUACCUUAUAUUUUGAAUUAAUGUUGAAAAUUGACUAAAUACUAUGUUUUUGGUGUUGAUAUUAAUUUCAUUUGGGAAUUGUAGCUUUCAAACAUAGAAGAUCACAAAGGAACCCAUGAUGAAAUAGACAUUGAGUUCCUUGGUACUACACAAGAUAAGCCAUAUGUGUUGCAGACAAAUGUGUACAUUAGAGGAAGUGGAGAUGGGAAGAAUAUAGGAAGAGAGAUGAGAUUUCAUCUUUGGUUCGACCCAACACAAGAUUUUCACAACUAUGCCAUUCUAUGGAAACCUAGUGAGAUCAUGUAAUAUUUUCAUACACUAUUGCACGAUGUUUUGAAAUCUAAACCAACAUAUCAUAGUUCAAUUGGUUCAACUAUAGUUAAACCGGAUACAAAUAAAAAUAUCAAAAGUAUUUAUUUAAAAAGUACCAAAACAAUUUUUAUUAAAAAUACGAACCGGUUAAACCAAAUCGGGUUGAACAUGAUUCUAUCAGGCUACAUUAAAAAUAGGAUCAAAUUAAUCAAUGAAGUAGCCAAUUUUUAGUUCAAUUGGUUGAACCGAUCGAUCCUUUCAAACUCGGUGUUGUUUUUAAAACAUUUACCAAGAUCCUCAGAAACAAUCUAUUCUAAAUAUAAAUAUGACUUUAUUUUGUGUUAAUUAAUAUUCUAUGUUUAAUAAGGAUCAACAAGUCAACAAUCAUUUAGCUCUAUGGCUAUCAAUCAAUCACUGUUUGGUUAAAUAUUUUAUUCCAAGAGUGUUUAAUUUUCCAUACUCUACUAAUAGGUAUAGAGAAAUGAGCUGCUAGAAAAUAUUCCUAUCAAAUAGAUCAUUUUUAUUUAAAAGUCCCAUGUGGUCCCUUUUCUAAGAUAUAUACUCAUUAACAUUAUAAUGUCACGUUUAUUAAACAAAACAAAGCAUAUAGCUAUUUUUUUGUAUGUUGCUUUAUGGCACAAUUAAUUAAUAUAUGAAAAAAAUAUGUAGAUUUUUGGUGGAUGAUGUUCCAAUAAGGAGGUAUCCUAGGAAGAGUGAUGCAACAUUCCCUUCAAGACCAAUGUAUGUGUAUGGAUCAAUCUGGGAUGCAUCUGCAUGGGCUACAGAGAAUGGAAAAUACAAAGCAAAUUAUACUUACCAACCCUUCAUUGGAAGAUACCAAAACUUCAAACUACAAGGUUGUACCACUGAUUCCACCUCCUCAUGCCGGCCACCUUCUGUCUCACCACCCGGCUAUGGCGGCAAGCUGAGCCGUCAGCAAAAUGUUGCAAUGCAAUGGGUCCAAAAAAAUUACUUGGUCUAUGAUUAUUGUCAUGAUCCUAAGAGAGACCAUACACUUACUCCAGAAUGCUAAUGUUUAGUUCGGUUCAAUUUGGGGUGUGAUUUAAAUUUACCUUUUACACUUGCAUACAUAAACAAAACAUAUUGUUCAUGGAGUGGUUUUUGAAAUGGUCCCACAUGUUUGUUAGUGCUAAGUCUAUAAUUGCAAGAACAGUGAAGAUCCUAGCCCUUCAAAUAAAAAGAAAUGAUUGUGAUGUUUUUGUUAUUUGUGUAACAUUUUACCCAAAAUAGAUUGGGAUGUUUGUGCGUACUACUGUUACUUUAGUCUUAUUGGUGAUGAAAUAAAUCUAUUUGGAUAUGUUUCUAAUAAUGGUUAAGGUAUCAUAAAAUGAGAAAAGGGACCUUGUUCCCUUGAAAGUAAACCAUCUAAAGGAACCUUCUCAUGGGACUUUUUGUUGCUGAAUUUGACCUCACAGAUUGUCGGUAGCCCUUUUCUGUUACAUGAAUUUGAAUACCAAUAUUCCAAUAACAAUGAUGCUAGAAAUUUAGAGUAAAAAGUUGAAGUGGUCCCUUCUCUAUUGUGGCCAAUAACAAUCAUAUUCUAAAGUAAACAAAUAAAUAAGCGGAGAAGAACACAAUAUUGAUCGUAAAGUUUGGCUAAUUGUGUCUACAUCUCCGGACAUAUAAUAUUAAUAGUACAUCAUAAUCAAUUAUGUGUGACAUUAUAAGCACUUGUGAUAGAAGUCAAACGUUUAUUAUGAUAUAACAAUUAUAAUUUAUUCAUAGUGUAAAAAAAUUUAUAUUGACCGUGUUUGUGAAUUAAAUUCUUGUUUAUCAUAUAUUGUCCUAUACUUUCGCUACGCUUUUGCGCAGUUGCUAGGCCACAUUAUGUUGAAGGGUCUACUAAGUCAUACUCAACAAGUAGAAUGAACACUAUGAGUAUAUAUUUUCCCAAUUUGGGACUAUGCUAAAUAGAGGCCUAUGACAAUGAGUUUCUAUUAGGGGUGGCAAAACGAGUCUGAUCCGUCGGGUCAGUCUGUUUGGCCCGUUAUUUUUGGCGGGUUGAGUCGAAGUUUUGAACUUACUUUCUAUAGUUGGGUCGUCUCGUCUCGUUAAAAUACAGGGCGGGACGGCCCGCUUAACUUGUUGGAAACGGGCACGGGACGUGGCAGGACGGCCCGCCUAACUCGUGUUUCAAUUUGUUAUUUUGAGUCUUAUUUUAUGUUUUUUGAUUUAUUUUGGUUGUUAGAUAUAUUUUGAGACUUAUUUUAUGCUUUUGGAUUUAUCUUGGUUGUUGAGUUUAUUUAUUUUAAGGCUUAUUUUAUAAAAAAAAAUUGGAUUUAUUUUAUGAUUUGUUUUAUAUUGCGCUUGCCUUAUUUUGCUAUUAGUUAUGAUGUUGAAUUCGACAAUUUGAUAAUUAUCUUGUUUUUCACAAAUUUACUUGUUACCUAUUCUUUUAUACUUUUUUACGAUAAAAGCAACAUAGUUUUUUUUUUAACAAUUAAGUUGUAAAAAAAAUUAUAAAAAGUUUUUGUUUGGCGGGCCGGCCCGUCAACUCGCAAGCCCACCACUAAACAGGGCCGGGUGAGAUUUUAAACUCGAUCACAAAAUUUGACUUUGCUCGUCUCAUGUCGUUUUUAGCAGGCUUAGACGGGGCGGAUCUAAAUGGGUCGGGUCGACCCGCUUUGCCAUCCCUAGUUUCUAUCCUAUUGUUUCUUUAGGAAUUUAAAAUUGAAAAAGGAGAAGCAGGUAACAGGAUAUUGACAUUCUAAUAAAUAAAGAGGCAAAUAGAUCGAAGGCAUUAGGCAAAGAUGCUUCACUAUGCUUGCUACUCUCUGAUUCAAAAGAUACCUUCAAAGACCACUAAAUAUAUUUGAUAUUACUUUUUAUUUACGUGGUUCGAACCUCGAACUUUGUAUAUUUUAUGCAUUGUCCAUAUCAACUGAGUUAAAUUCACGAUGACAUAUUUAAUAGAGGAGUGAUAUUUGUACAACUAAUAUUAGACAACUUUGGUGACAAUUAUUUUUCUCCUCUUGUGAUUGGACAAAAACAAUGGAGAGAGAAAGAAGAAGAAGGAGAAUAAAAGCAUAUGUGAGUAUGAGAGACAUGGUUGUUUCAAAAGUUGUUAAAAAAUGGUUGUACAAAUAUCAUUUCUCAAAUCUAAAAUAGUGAUUUUUGCUUAUAAUAGUGACCGAAUGGUGUAGAUGGGUAACAACAGUUUUCAUGCAUUGAAUUUCAAGAGAAUUUUUUUUUAUGCCCUAUAAUGAAAACAAAAAUCAAUAACUACCUAGUUGAAAAGAAAAAAAAACCAAAACUUCCCUACUUUUGAAAAGUUGACCACUAUGUCACAAGAUUCAAUUGCGACCUACCCCCUAUUCUUAAAGUUUGCAUUUAUUUUGUUCUUAUUGUAUGUCACAAGUGGGAUUUAUGACAUGUCUAAUUUUUUUCCGAUUUUUUUCAAGUAAUUUAAUAGAAUUAGUUUUAUAAAUUUAAAAAAAAAAAAUUGAAAUAAAUAUUUAUUAUUUAAGAUGACACAUUUAAAGGUACAAUACUUUCAAACGAAGGAUAAAUAUUUAAUGCAAUACAAAUUAAAUGCAGUAAAAAAAGGGUUUUGUUAACGAGUAUCCACGGGACACUCUUUAAACUUUUUAAAUUAAGUAAUUAUUUUUUAAAAAUGUUAAACUUUUUCAAUUUUCAACGCACUAAUGGCACUAACUUUCAUAAAAGUUUACUAUUUAAAGUCCUUAACCAGUGCCCCGGGGGGCAUUGGUCAACAUUUCCCUAAAAUAUGUCUAGAUUGUUACUGAUGUUCAGUAGUAAUGCAAUUUUUUCAGGAAUGACUGGUCAUCCUACAAAUGCCGCAUUUUCUCCUCUCAUUUUCCACAACGUCCAUCUCGGUCCUAAUGCGAGUAAUUGUGGGACGACCUUUCUUUGCUCUAUGCUACGAUAAAAAAGGACUAUGUGGGUGUAACUUCCUCCUUCAAGUUUGGGCAUUUUGUAGGAUGAAGCAUAUUGCACCAAUUUCAAACCCAAAUAACUUUAUGUUUUAUUUCUUCUUUAUUAAUUUUUUAUUUUUAAAAAUUAUUGUUUACAAGAUUAAUGAUUGAUUAAUUGAUCUAUUCUUUCAGAUGGAUCAGAAAGGGCUCGAAUUAUUACAAUAAUCCAUCUUAUGACACCAUACAUUACAGAACGGAGUUUGAUCGCUUAGUAUAAGAACGGGUAAUAUAUAUAAUGACUAGUAUUUAUUUAUUUAUUUAUAAAAAUGUAACUCAAUUAAUUUUAACUAACGUGACAUAAUGCAACAAGAAAUGUUGGCGGACCAUGGUGUGGAACAGGACCACCUAAUGCCCGAAGAAGAAAUAAUUAAAUGUAUUGUAUUUUUUUUUGGUCAAAAAUGUAUUGUACUUUUAAAUGUGUCAUAUUAAAUAAUAAAUAUUUUCCCUAAAAAAAAUCUGAAUUUCUAGUUGAUCUUGUGUUUGACCAUAAACUUCACUUUGUCAGGGAGAACAAUGCAUUAAAUCACACAAUCAUCCGUUAAUUCUAUUUCAUUUGGCAUAAUGAUAAUCUUCCAUGCCUAACACAAAGCAUCCUACAUUUGUGUUCCAGCAAUGAUGACGUCGCUACUUGACUCUUUUUGAACGCUCUUUAUCCAAAGUGAGGGGGUACAUGUAAUGACGUAAAGACACUCUUAUAAGAGCAUAGUCAGGAGCGGAGCCCGAACCCCCUCAGAUUUGUUAUUUUACCCCCCAAUUACCCUAUGUUUUUCUAUAUCAACCCCCUCAUACAUGUUUAGUAAUGCCUACUUUUAUUUUGUCAAUAGCUUCAAACUUUAUAUAUAUAGCGUAUUAUAUAAUGAUUUAAUCAUCUUUGAUUUCUUUGUCAUAAAAAAAAGAUCUUUCAUUUCUUUAGUUCUCUACUUUAUGUUCCAAAUAAAUGUUAUUUAAAUAUAUAAAAUAAGUAUUCUGUAUACUACUUUUAACUAUAUUAUCACAAUGAUAUCACUAAUUUUCACUAAUUUUUUGUCAAAAACAAUCAAUAGUUCCCUACAAAAAAACAAUAGUUAUAAUUUUAUAUAUAAAAUAAUAAUUCAUGAAAUAAAAAAAGUUUGCAUCUCUAUAGCACUGACACUUCUAAUCAAACAUGUGUUCGGUGUCCGGUUCUGACACAAUACUGACACAUGUGAUUUACAUUCAAUUUUGAUAUUUUCUUUAAUUACUAUCAACGACGAUGUGUCUAUGUCCUGUCCAAGUGUUAGUGUUUUAUAAGUUUGCACCCCCUAACUCAGGGUCUUGGCAACGCCACUGAUAGUUAGGUAUAAAUUGAUUUAAGAUGUGUUCGAUUUGCUAAAAAAUAAAGAACAAUAUAAGACAAUUUUAUUUGUCCAAUGUUUGAUUUGUAAAACUAUUUUAAGGACAUGACACACCGGAGGUAAGGGACAUGACAAAAGCUCAAAUUUUUAUCUUUCAUUAAACCACAACACAACUUUUCAUCCAAGUACAAAUUGUUUAAUAUACCAAAAUAAUAUUUUUACUAUAAAAUAUCGUAUAAUAUCAAAGAUUUUGUCUUCAGUUGUUUUGUUCACAACUUACUUUUUAGUAGAUCAAUCACACUUUUAUUAUACUUGGCGUGAUCCCCCCCCCCCCAACCCCCCCAUUUAGUUUUGCAUCCGGGGCCCUAAAGUUUUCAGUGUCCGUGACAAAUCAGUAAAAUUGCACCCUUUUAAUUAAUCAAACGUCUUUUUUCUUCCAUUUCUCAUUAUAAAAGAUUCACUCAUAAUCAAGGUUCUAUAAAAAUAUAUUUUCAAUAGAAUUAAUCCAAACAAGUUAAAAAGAAAUAUAUUUAUAUAAUACUAACUACCAAGUAAAAAUAAUAAUUUUGGUGUCCCUAAAAAAUUGGUACCCUAGGCGGACGGCCCUCCCGCCAUGCUCAUGCUCAAGGCCACCCCUGCUAGCACCCGAGUUGUGUUAAGCUCUUCGUUUUCUGAGUCUUCACUUCAGGUUCAUAUCAUGAUUUUAGAGCCGUUGUAGCUUGUUCUUGAUGGGGAAGACACAUCUGUCCCUUGAUAUUAGUAAAUUUAUAUGUGGAACCUUAACUUUUAUUUGGUGGCAAGAUCUUCUUAUCAGCUUGCACUCUGAACGGUGAACUCUUAUCAAUCAUCUAACCUCAUCUGCUUGAUCUCAUCUACUGACUUGGCUAUUUGGGACUGAUCUUCCGACUAUUGAUGUUGGGCAUAUGCACCCACUAUAGAUAUUGUUUCUUUCUACCAUACAAUACAAUUUGACUAUACUUUAUUGCACGUUCUUCAUACAUUUACAUUCUGUACUCAAUACUUAAUAACAGAAGAUGUAUGCUCAGACGAUACGCACUCAGCAGAUGAACAUUAUUAGCGGAGAUUUUUUAAUUUUGGAGAAGUCUCAUUUUAGUCACUCAUAAAAUAUAUAGAACUCAAAUUAUUCUUUUAUUUAUAUGGUCAACUAGAAAAAGAAUUUCCAAAGAUUGAGGAAGGAGAAAAUUAUUAUUGUUUAAAGUCAACGGCGGAGCAGGGUGCCAUGGCAUUCAAAGUUUAAAAAAAAAUCAUUUUUAAUAGUUAUAUAUACACAUUUUUAGCUAAAUGUUAUGUUAUAUUUAACGUUUGCAUUGCAAAUCAUGUAUUUACACUCUAGCAAAGCGGUUAAGUGUCUUGCCUUUCAGCCUUGGGUCCUAUGUUUGAUUCUUUCUUUGUUCAUUUUUAACUUUGACACGUAUUUUUUGUAUUUUUCAAACAAAAAAUGCAAUAAAAACAUUGUAAAAUGCAAGUAUCAAACCAUGGUUAGGAGAGCAACAUAAAAACAAACUAACCACCUAACCACAGCUUUAAUUGUAAUUUAAAAAAAUUCUUGACUCUGCCAUUGGUUUAAAGUAGUAAUAUUAAAUUAUUUUACGAUCUUCUUCAAAGUUAUAACUUAAACUCUUUCCAUUAGCCUUUUAAUCUAUAUUGUAAAUUCAUUUUCAAAAUUAAGGACAUGAAGCCUAUGAGGAAACAGCUUAUGUUGAAAAACUCAGAAGCAAAACGGCAACAUAUGUUUUUUUUUAUUUUAUUUCGAACCACUAUUUUUAAACUCGUCAGCUUGUAUACUUUUGAUUUUUGAAUGUACUUAAACCCCCAUAUGAUGAGGACCAUCUUUAAAUAUCAAAAGCAAGGUUAUUUUGAGUUACAUAAACCCCAUAUGCUUUUGAAUCUACUCAAUCUGUCUUGCUUUGUAAUUCAAUUUUAGAUGGUAUCAUAUAAAAAUGAUAUUAUUUUUUUUGGUUAUAUGUGCACUUUGUAAGAAAUGCAUUGUCUUUCAAUGAAAAGAUGAUAGUUAUUGAGCUAUGUAGCACUAACACUUUAUAAUGAAGCUGUGUCUAGAGUACGACGCCACAGCACCAACACAUGUGAUUGCCACAUUCAAUUACUUCAUUUCUCAAAUUGUUGUCGGUAUAGUUGUGUAUGUGUCGGUGCUUCCCAGUUAUUGAAUUAUCUUUCCCAAACACUACCUACAGGAAGAAUGAGUUAUUCAAUAGCCUCUUUGUAUAUUCCUCUACAUCCAUCCUAUGCCUUAACUUUGAUAAGGAAGUUGCAGAAAUAGUUCAAUAGAUUUCAAAUUAAAACAGUACCUAUCGGAACUAUUUUAGCAAAGCUUAAUUAUUAGGGAAAUGGACAACUCAUGCUGAAGGGUCUAGAGUAACUAGAUAACAGUUGUAAUUUAAUUAGCAAGUGGAAUUACAAAAGAGUUUCAAAGAACAACAAAGCCUAAAGAAUCUGAUAGAAACCUUCGUGAUAAAAUAGAAUUACAAGAGAAUUUCAACAGUGUUACAUUAAAUGCUCUGUUUUAUUAUAUCCAUAUUUAUUGUUUUAAUUGUCAAAAAAUGGUAUCAAGAGCCAGGUUGAACUAAGAUGGCAACAAAUUCAAGCACAGGAGUAACCCAACUUCAGCAAGUCUAAUCAACAAUUUACAAGUUCGAUGGAACUAUGUUUAAAAUCAAUUGGUUAUCAUUAAUAGAAAACGUAAACUACUGAGAAAGUGAGGGAAAGAGUGUAAAUGAUUUGAAUAAUUAUUUCUUGCAUACACUAGGAUUGGUAUUUAUACUAAUAACAAUUAACCUAUCCUUCUAACUGACUUUGCGCAGUUAGGUACAAGUAGUUAUGAUUAGUUAAACUAACUCUAGUUGAUUGGGAUAACUGAAUAACAGAUUGUGGAAUCUGCUAUUCAGGUUUGGUAUACAGAUCGUGGAAUCUAUUAUUCAGGUUUGGUAGGCUACAGCAGGAUGAACUGCAGUUACUCUAUUAGUUAUGGUUUCAGAGAAAGGUUUUGCUGAACCAACAGAAGAAGAAAAAUCAAAGGUAGAUAAAUAAACAGGUCGAAAAGUAUAUUAUACUCAACUAAAAAGUUGUGCUUUUAACAUGUCAAUAUAUGUGGAGCAGCCUGGUCUUGGAAAAAAAUUCAUAUUACAACAGCAAAGGACAAGACAACAGUUUGAAGAAACAUAUUUGUUUCUUCAAUCUGUAUGUAAAGUUAAGUUCCAAAGAGCAUCUCGAUGAUCGGAAAAAGGAGCUGUUGGAAAAGUUGGAGCGUGAGCUGUUUUGAAAUUAAUUUCAAUCAAAUAUUUGUUUGUUCGGUCAAAAUUGUCAGUGUUGUCUAGUCCCCAGUGUUUGCUUUAAUAAUUGUCAGUGUUGUCUAGUCCUCGGUGAUAGUCCUUAGUGUUGUCUAGUCCCCCGUUACUUAUUUCACAUACUAUUUGCUUUAAUAAUUAUGCCUACUGUGUGGCCAUUAUUUCACAUACUAUUUGCUUUAAUAAUUAUCUCCACUGUUUGCUUUAAUACAAUACAAUAAUUUAUUUCAAAUCCGUUAGUGUCCACCACACAGAUAAGUUAUUUGAUCUCAUUCAUAUCUAGUUCCAAUUUCACAAAUCUCAUUCAUAUCUACUUCCAAAAAAACUUUCAAUGGACCCUUUUGAUAUCGAAGCCUACUUCCAAAAACGUGAUGUUGAAGACACUUAUAUCGUCAACCGAUUUAUUCAGCGUCGAAAAAAAUUAGAGGAAGGUAGUGCAUCUCGUACUAGAAAAUAUUUCAAUAGAGAUCAUGUAGCGGCAAACCAAAGACUAAUUGACGACUACUUUGCCAAUGAGCCUACAUACGAUGAUGCAAUGUUUCGUCGUCGGUACCGGAUGCAAAAACAUGUUUUCCUUCGAAUCGUUGGAGACCUUUCAAGUAGUGAUAACUACUUCACCCAACAAGUUGAUGCAGCCAAUAAAAAAGGUAUAUCACCGUUAGCAAAAUGUACCACAGCAAUGCGAAUGUUAGCAUAUGGUGUGGCAGCAGAUGCGGUCGAUGAAUACAUCAAAAUAGGAAGUAGUACAACAUUGGAGUGCUUACUUAGAUUCUGCAAAGGAAUCAUACGAUUGUAUGAGCAAGUGUACUUGAGAGCACCAACCCAAGAUGACCCGCAUAGAAUACAACAUGUUAGUGAAACGCGAGGGUUCCCAUGGAUGAUCGGGAGUAUUGACUGCAUGCACUGGGAGUGGAAAAAUUAUCCUAAAGCAUGGGAAGGGAAGGUCAAUUCACCAGAGGGGAUGAGGGAACCACCACAGUUAUUCUUGAAGUAGUUGCAUCUCAUGAUCUAUGGAUCUGACAUGCCUUUUUCGGAUGUCCGGGAACGUUGAACAAUAUAAACGUUCUAGACCGGUCACCAGUGUUUGAUGAUUUGAAAUAGGGAAAGACUCCAAGGGUGAAUUACUUUGUGAAUCAACGUCCCUAUAAUAUGGCAUAGUGUCUAGCUGAUGGUAUCUACCCUUCUUAUCCAACUUUCGUCAAAUCAAUUAGACUUUCUCAAAGUGAACCCGAUAAGUUAUUUGCAAAACAUCAGGAUGGAUGUUAGAAGGACAUCGAACGUGCUUUUGAAGUGCUUCAAGUUCGAUUUAAAAUCAUCUGUGAACCAGCUCGCUUGUGGGACAUAGCGGAUUUGGGUAUCAUCAUGAGGUCAUGCAUCAUAUUACAUAAUAUGAAUGUUGAGGAUGGACAAGAUAUAUAUGCUCAAAGUUGGACCGAUUUUGAGCAACCUGGGGAAGUGGAUCUAGUACACCGCAACCAUACUCGACCGAGGUGUUACUAGCUUUUGCAAAUCAUGUGCGUGCUAGAUCCCGAGUUGCAUCACGAAUUACAAGUAGAUCUAGUGAAGCACACGUGGACAAAGUUUAGAAUGUAUUUUGAAGAUGAUUUGUAUCGUACUAAAUUGUGUUAACCAAAGCUGAUUCCGGAUGCGUGGAAAAGAAAACAACUGAGCAAACGAUGAGCUUCCGUCUAUUAACCAAAGCAUGGCGGCAACAAAUCCAACCGUUAAACCGCACCGAGUUUUCUUCUUACAUUCUUCAUCGUUCAUUUUCUCGCGUAUCUGAAAGGUUUGUCAUUACUGAAACAAAUCUCAUUUCUCUAAUUAUUUCAUUAUUAUUAUUAUGCUAUCCAAUUUUGAUAAAUGAUCUACUAAUCAGGCCAUCAUUCGGCAUUGCUUUCGACAUCGACGGCGUCAUUCUCCUCGGUAACACCCCCGUUGGUGGCUCUCCGGCCGCAUUGAGAAAAUUAUACAACUAUGAUGGUAAAUAAACAACGAAAAGUAAAUACUCUCUAUCAAUUUUCGCUAUCACUGAGUCAUCCAUCAAUUUUUUUAUCUGUUUAUUUUGUUAGGUACGCUGAAAUUUCCUUACGUUUUUCUCACAAAUGGUGAGUUCUUACUCUUAUUUUUAUUUGUUCUGUUUACUGUUAGUUCCGUGUAAUUAGGUUAAGAUUUUAUGGAUGAUUAUGAAAUUUCAUAUUUGCAUGAAUCUAGUUCAAUCAAUGAUUCAUAUGCAUAGCCAGCAUUAGGUGAAUAAUUUUAAUUUUAUGUUUUACAAAGGUGGUGGCAUUCCUGAAGCUAAAAGAGCCUCCGAGCUUAGUGAACUGUUGGGUUUAAAUGUCUCAGCUUCACAGGUAUGUUAGAAGAUUUUUGUGUUAUCCUCUCAUUAAUCAAGGACACAUUAAUAAAAACAUGAAAAUUCAACUAUUAUAAAAGUGGAUUGCUUAAAAAUUCAACUAUAGGAACAAAAUAUGGAUGAGUUGUUUAAGCAUGAUGUGGCAUAAUGCAAAUGUAUUUCUUAAAAGUUUGCUAUUGGUGAUGCUCUUAGUAAAUUUAAAAUUAUCGAUUUUGGAAAUGCUCAGUAGUAAUAAUCUAUAGUAUGUGAUGACGAUUGUUUCUCUUCUGCUGUAUGAUAGUAGUAAUGUAUAUGCAUGUGGUUAUGUUUUCUGUCUGUUUGCUACAUGCAUCAUGCAUGUCUAUCUCAAAAGUCACAACCAGGGAAUACUUUUUCACAUUGUUGUCCUAAAUUCUUUUUCUGAAAUUGCAGAGAUUCUGCCCUUUAAUGGAAUUUGAUUAUUAUGCAGGUUUUGCAGGGCCAUUCACCAUUUAGACAAUUGGUUAAUAGGUAUAAAUGUGCUUAUCUUAUCUUAUCUCAUCUGACUGUAUAGGAUUAAAUGCUGAAACCAGCAAUUAUUCCGUUGAAUUAUAUUUAUCAUAUAGAAAUUGACUUUUCAGAUUUGAGGAUAAACUCAUUGUUGCUGCGGGAAAAGGGGAACCAGCUUUGGUGAUGUCUGAAUACGGUUUUAAGUAAGGCUUUAAGAUAAUUGGCUUGUCACAUAUUUCACGACUUUAUUGAAUAAUUAAUUUCACAUCAGUGUCAAUGUGUUAUUAUUUUGUUGUUGUUGUUUUUUAUGUUCAGAAAUGUUAUCUCAAUUGAUGCAUAUGCAUCGCGCUUUGAAAACAUUGAUCCAUUGGCACCAUACAAGAAAUGGACAACCAAGUUAGCUACUACUCAGAAUCCAAAGUUUGAUGAGAGUGGUCCACAAAUUGAUGUGUUCUCUGAAAGGGUUCAAGCAGCAUUCAUAGUUAGUGAUCCUGUUGAUUGGAGCAGGGACGUACAGGUAACUGACUACAACAAUCUUACAACUGGUUCCAUAUCAGAUGACUGUCCCUUUUCUUACAAGCUGCUGUCCACAUUACUAAAUUUAGUUUAAUCAUAUUUGAAUUGUAACUUGGCUUCUAUUUCUAAGAGCUGAGAACAAAGAAGAGAGUUCUUUACUUCUUUGGGUUUUCUAAAAGUUCUUAGAUUUACGUUUUAUGAAUCAAACCAAUGAAUCUAUGAACUGAUCAUCACUUCUUAUUUAGGUUCUUUGUGAUAUCUUGAAAACUGGAGGGCUUCCUGGAAGAAAUGUUGGAACACAGCCACACUUAUAUUUUGCAAAUGAUGACCUUGAGUACCAGGUUGGUUGAUGUUUGUUACAGAAAAGUGUUAUGAUACAGAUUAUAUGGAUCCCUUUUAAACUAUCAUACUACUAUACUCACUGACAAAGUUCUACAAAAGGUAGACGAAAUUUCCUUCUGAGCGUCUGGGUAUGGGAGCUUUCAGGAUUGCAUUAGAAUCCAUCUUCAAUAGGUAAGACUGUGUAUUAUCUUGUUGUUCAUGGUAGUUCUCUAGUUCCUUUAAAUUGAAUACUUCAGGUUCAGCACAGAAACAUGACAUGCGUUGGGACAUUGGGCCAUUUACUAGGAUUUUGAUAAAUUCAGUAUCAUAUAUAGUAUUAUAGAUUAGCUGCCACAACAUAUAUUAUCUAUACUAUAUAUUAUACGAGUAUUGUCCCCACAACUUCAUAUAUAUGAGUAGUGUUGUCUCUACAUUUCAAAAAAUUUAGAUGUGUCACCAUAUAUGUGUAAACAUGAGAAGCUGUUUUAUUAUAAUCAAAACUGCAGAUAAGUUCUUUAGUAGGAUGGUGCUGAUUUAAUUCAUAUUUAAGAACAUUCAUCUAUAAUCGUGAAACACUGUAUCCGCAGGACUCAUCAUCAUUCCUUGGAGUACACAUGUUUUGGCAAACCACAUCCAUCUGUAUUCAAGAAUGCAGAAAUUGUGUUACAGAAACAUGUACCACGAGUCGAUGAAGAUUCCUACGAUAUAAAUCAUAAAAAUGCUCAACCUUUUCAAACACUUUACAUGAUUGGAGACAAUCCUGCAGUUGACAUCAGAGGUGCACGACAGGUAUGUCUAUUGGAGUUGGAAUUCACAAGUAUUACGGUACGACAACUAUUUGCCGACUUAUGCUAAUAACAAAAAUAUUGUAUUUCAGACCGGGCAUCCUUGGUUUUCUAUUCUCACAAGAACUGGUGUUUUCAAGGGGAAGGAAAAUCAUGACAAAUUUCCAGCAGAUCUGGUAAUUCCUUGCCAUCCUCUAAAAAAUAAUUCAGAUACUUAUCCUUUUUUCCUCUCUAUUUCUUUUAAGAAAGAAAUCAUGUUUUUGUUCCACUGUUAGUGCCGUGAUGGGAACUAGCCAAUGUUUUCUGAAAUUUGUGGGAAGUUUGUGAUCAAGAUGACACCACCUAUCGUAUAUUGUGCCUCGUGAUGAUUUAAUUUGUGACUAAAUGUUGCCAGUGUUUUAACUCUGUGAUUAAAAUAAGCUUUGCUUCUGCAGGUUGUUGACACUGUAGAAGAAGCCGUGGACUACAUAUUGGCAAAGGAAUGUGCUUAGUUGGUUCGGUCUUCUUUACAUUUAGAAGGCUCUGAUUCUUGGUAGAAAGGGUUCUAAGAGAAGACAUUUCUAAAUUAAAAUUGUGAUUCUGUGAGCAGAAAAACAAUGUAAUAAUUUAUGGCUUAAUCAUGCCAUUCAUUUGACGCACGUAUAAUUGAUUAUUUCCUCAUUUGCUCAUGUUUGUUGUUCUGAUGAGAAAUGAUAAUUUUGAUGUCAAAUACGGUGACAUUUGGUUUUUAUGUGUACUUUUGAAAUUAGUAUAAGUUGUAGGAAGAUAAAAAGUAAGAGAGAUGGAUAAAAACCUACACUGUAAGAUUCGAUUUCUUCAUUUUAAUGUUCAAUUAACACAAUUUUUCUAUUCUGAUAGAGAACUUUAAUUUGGCAGCUUAGUUUAGCUACACUUGGUUUAACUUAGUAGAAAUAACAAUCUUUGGACCGUUAUCUCAUAAAAGAGAAAGAGAAUGUGUUCUUUUACAAUACAACAAAUCAGGAAUUAACACAUAAACACAAAAAAAUAAAAAAAUAAAAAAAUAUUGAGUCCUGGUCUCCUAAGAAUUCUAGAUGUCUCUGAAUCGAUCAGUAUCAAGUCCCAAAAAUGGAUGUCUCUGAAUUUUUCUACCACAUCCCUAUUAUAUAUAUAUAUAUAUAUAUAUAUAUAUAUAUAUAUAUAUAUAUAUAUAUAUAUAUAUAUAUAUAUAUAUAUAAGAGGUCCAGCAAUACCACUGUAAUUACUGAAAGAGAGAGAGACCAAGACUCUCAUUUUUUUUGGAUAUCAAUUGCUUUGUAACAACAUAUUGUCUCUUUCCUUAAUCUUUAUGUAAAAUAACUCAUUCUCUAUUCUGAGACGACAGUCCGUAGAUUGUUAUAAAUAAAUUGUUGUUUCUGUUAAUUUUAUCACUAUAAAAACCAGUUUCUAUCACAUACUUUGACUGAGAUUGUUUUGAACUACUUGGAGCAAAUUUUGGAAAAGUUGUAGCUAUGUUUCAGUAUUCUUGUACAAUACACAUGGGAUUCCUACAAGAUGAGUACUUAACAGUGAGAUAGAAAUGCCAUAUAAAAUGCAGAACUCCUUUCUCACAGAAAGUAAAUAUCAACCGCAAGCCUUAAAUCCAAUCCCACAUUUCAAAUUAGAAUUUGAUCACUUGCUUUGGUUGGCUCCCAAGUUUUCCUAGAGCUUUAUCCAAUGCUGUGUUGAAAUCAUUAAAGGGAGUCAAUUCCAUCCUGCAAAGAAGGGCGGCCAGUUAAUGUUUCAAUAUUUAUGAGCAAUUGAUCAUUUAGAGUGGAUAUAAACCCCUUGCUUAUUUUUCUUGUUCUAUGAUAGGUAUAAGACAUACUUGUAUUUUAACUUUCCAUCUUGUACAAGACCCAAAAGCCUGUCUAUCAUUCUUCUGCCCUCUUCAGCUUUAUCUGUGCUCAACCAAUUCUGCAACCAGAAACCCCUCAAGGAAAGUUCCUGCAAAUAUGUGAUUUAAAACCAUGGUUACAUUUAAUAAACCAGAGCAAUGCUAUUUCAAUUAGAAAGUAUAAGCAUGUGUUAUUAAAAGGUUAUGCUACAAAUAAGUCCCGAUAUUUGUUUUGGACGUCUAAAAGCACCCAGUUUCGGUAAAACAACGCGAUUCGGAGUCGAAAGUUACAUGCCUCAAACAACCAUUUCAUAAUCUUUGCAAGCUCCUGCCCAGAGGCUUUCCCUCCUAAGAUUUCUGCAUUUCACAGCAGUUAAGAAACUUGGCCUCCGUUGAUGGGGUUAUGACUCCCCAACAAGCAAAUUUUGAAAUACACGGGCCUCGUAGACCUCAGUUACCAAUUUUUAUUACGCCAAAAACGCAAACUUUGAAAUACAUGGGCCUCGUAGACCUCGGGUACAAAUUUUAAAUAUACCCAUACAAAUUCUUGCUGAUUUGAUUAUUGGAGUGUCUUUGCAAAUGAUCAUUUCUGCAUCCCCAUCAUACGCGGUCAGUCUCCCAAAAUAAUAACAACUGUUUGAGCAUACAGACCAAGUCUAAUCUCCGCUCAACAGAUAUUAAGAGGUCCUAGGGCUCAUGGACCAACAUGACUGUUUUUUAUUGCCAUUUUUAUGCUCCUUUUUUAUUUUGAUGGAUCAAUGAUCAAUCAAUAUUAAGUUUUGGAGAUACCAUUUAAGACCAAGAUAAAUAAUUAGUAUUCUUAAUUUCAGCACUUCUUUCUGAUCCUUCACACAGAAAAUGCUAUGUAGUUAUUCAAGCAGGCAAGUGAAAAUUUUGUUCACUAAAUGUAAAACCCAUUUUCAGUUUUUCAACCAAACAUUCAAAUAUCUAGGGAUGUUGAUAUCUAUACUUCCCUAGUUCUUCGACAAGCAACACCAUACCACCACAGACGGUUAGGUUCUAUGAAUAUUAAAAGAACCCCAUACCACUACAGAGUCCCAGCACUGCAAAGGGACGGAUAGCAGUGUUGACAAGCAUGACUUCUAUGCCCUGCUAAAAAUAUGGUCAUGCGGGGUAUGGACCUAUGAGAAGGUUUGUGAACUUACAAGUACAGACCUAUUAGAAGGUUUGUUGGUUGACUAACAAGUCACAAGUACUUGUUGAGCUUAAGCUUCAUCCCUAGCCCAAAGUUGAUCGCCUCUAACCUUUCACAAAACCCAGGCUAAACAACCAAGUAUCAAUAUCAUCUAUUUUUACCCAACUUCAGCACUUUCGCAUAAAAUUGAACAAUUUUCAGGGUGUCGCGAUCAAUUAUCUUAACAACUUAAUAACUUGAAAGUUGAAAACUCCUUAAUCUCAAUCACUUCCAAGAUCCAACUAAAGCCCCGUCAUUUAUAUCAAUUGAAGAUGCAAAAUCUUUACUCAGAUAGUCACAAAACUUGCUGGCAAUUGUAACUUGAUUCGACUUUACAUACUAGUGAUUGAAUAUCUCUAUGCUUCAAACUAAUCAUUGCUGACCAAGAUAAAUCAAGAUUUUGACGUCGAAAAUUAUAUAUAGAAAUCAAGACUUUAAUUAAAAAAGGUGUUGCAUAGUAGACUGAAGAUAUCAAUUUUGAGAGCAGAAAAAAAGGAUUGCAAGUUACAGUCUAACCUUAAAUAUGAAGGAUGAAGUUGAUACAGUGACGGGCUUUUUAGACAUUCCACCAUACGUCACCAUAGUUCCUCCUCGUCUGCAAGGCACAAACAUGUCUAAAACUUCAGGAUAAUGGUAUUUAGUAACAAAAGAGAAAGUUUCCAUCAUUAAAGUCUUUACCGAAUAUCCCAUGUCAUACCUUAAAAAUUUGAGAACCAAAGAAGCAGAAUUGCCACCGACACAGUUAAAUCCCAGUGCGGGUUCAGGUAUACCACCCUACCAUGUCAAAUAAUCAUUCAAUUUUAGGAUAGGAGAUAAGAUAACCUUAAAAGUUAAAACAAUGUAGUUGUUUUUCAGCUUUGAUGGCAUCUCAGGAAGAUAGGUACAAAACUUCAACAAUAAAGAUAGAACCACAUGCAUAUUACUUCCCAAAUGCUUAACAAAUUAUGAUAACAGACAUUCAUCUAAAAAUUCAACAUCCAUCUCAUAUCAUAAGUCAUAAAACUAACAAGAAUAAUAAAUCCAAGACAUACCAGGAGACUCUUGACAUUCUUCACUUCCAAUUCACUCUCGGUGAAAACUUCAUCAGCACCCAAAUCCUUAAGUCUUUCUUUUACUUCACCAACCCCAGGCCUAUCAGAAGCAAAAAGAUUAGAAAUUAAAAAAUAAGUUUUUUCACAAAAAAUCUAGUUCAGUUCAAUGAGCUAGAAAAUGGGAACAAGAGCACAGUUUAAAAAACAUUCAGACACAACCAUGCUGGUCACCCCAUUUUGAACAAUAGCAUGCAAAGAACCUUAAAAAGAUCACCUGUCCCGUAUAAUAUUAAUGUUGUGAAUGCCACGAGAUUUUGCAAGCUGAAUGACACACUGACCAACCAUGCUGGUUGCCCCAUUUUGUACAAUAGCAUCUCCUGUUGAAAACAUGAAUACAUAACAUAAGCAUAAACAAAUCCACUCAUGAAUCAACUAUAAAAAACAAGUAUUGCAGCUAAAGAGGCAGUGCCUGAGUUCAAAGUAACGCAGUCUUCAAGCAUUAGAAGAGCAGUUAGAGGAUUAACAGUAAUUGUAGCAGCAUAUUCCAUAGGCACACCCUUGUUUACUUUGUGCCACACAUUCUGAUCCUUCACAAUGUAUGUCUGCCACGUCCCUGGAAAAAUAAAUAAUCAAACUUUCAAAUAUAAUAAUAUUAACAACAAGUGAAUCACUAAUAUGAUGUCGUAAACUAUAGAGCAUAGCAAACAUCUAAAUUAAAUUGUUAAAAUUGGACGACCAUAUCAACUUAAUCUCCCAUAUUAUCAAUAUUCUAAAAUGAUGUAUGACAUUACAAAAUACUAAUCAAAUUCGUCCCUCUGGUAAUAUUUGCAGGAACUAUAACGACAUCAAGUUGGUAAUGUUGUGGAUGUGUUUGAAACUAAUUAAAUAAUAUCUUGGGUAAAGUUGAUAACAAAUCUGAUUAAUACUUGGCAAUUCUAAUGAUCAUUUUAGACUUAUUAAUAACGUGAUUAUAUGAGGAUGGAUUGAUACCAUCUAGAAACUAGCUAGAUUUCAAAAUGGUAACUGAAUUUUAAAAUUCUCAAUGACAUUAGUUUUUGCAAGACAUUUUCAACCAUUAAAUUGACUAACAAGUUGUUUAAAUAAACAAAUUAUUUUGCAAAAAUAUCAUAAGCGCUUAUGAAUUAGAUACUUCAAUUACACAAGAUAAUAUAAAGUCAAAUUAUUUGUGUAUAAUCUAUAAGUUGUUUUCAUAAGCUGAACAUAGCUUAUAAACAAUGUCAUAAUAGUAACAAAUAAAUUAAAAUGAGAGAAAUUGAGGGGGGUACCGAAAGAAGGUGGAGAAGGAAUAACCCAAUCACCGGGAGAGAAACAAGUUACGGCGGAGCCAACGGAGUGAACCUCUCCAACACCUUCGUAACCACCAACUGCAGGUGGUUCCGGCCUCACAGGAUAAACACCUUGUAUUCUAUUAAUAUCGGAAGGGUUAAUUGGAGCUGCUAGCAUCUUGACGCACAGAUCAUUCUCUUUAACUUCCGUCGCCGGAAUGUCGACUAGCUUUGUUACUGCGUCGGGUUGGCCGUGGGAUUCGUAUAUGAUUGCUUUUGACGGUGGUGAUACGGCGGAGGAGAAUGCAUGCGUGUGGGUGUUUAGAAUUCUGCUGCGAAGUGAGGUGAAGUUGAAGAGUGAAGAGGGGGAGGGUUUGUGACUCAGUGAUCGUAACAUUUUCUUUGGUUACUCUGUUUUCAGAUUUCUCCAACUUUCUUGCUUAUGUUUUCAUCUUUUUAUCACUAACUUAAACUUUUACUUUAAACACUUAAUUAAACUUUUUUUUUUUUUUUAUUCAAAUCAAACUUUCAUUUAUUCCCAAAAUAUUUGUAGAAAUAUAGUGAGAAAUGACUAAAUACAUAAACAUUUUAUGAGAUCAUUUUCUUGUUUGGGACCUGGCUCCUUUUAUUCAAAAAAAUAAAAUAAAAUUGGGUAUAUUUCUUAAUCUUUGUAUAAUUUAUUAACUGAUUUAAUUAAAAUAUACUGUUAAUGUUAAGAUUAUUUAUGAAAUGUAAAAUAUUUCUACAUUCUAUACCUUGGCACUUUAAAAUAUUUCCAAUUGGCAAAUCAUAUCCAUAUCUGCAUUUUCCUACUUAAUAUGAUCCAAUGGAAACUUGAGAUUCCACGCAAGAACUUGAUGAUAUUAUCUACAACAUUCAAUAAUUUUCCUUACUUCCGGCACACUUUUCAAACUGGUAAAUUGGUUUUGAUUUGUAGAGGUAAAUAUAGAGUAUAGACCAAACCCACUACAAUAGUGAGCAAAAUAUACUUGGUUUCAUUUAGAAACUUAGGUAAAAUAAAACACCACUUUCAGAAUCAUUCAGUAAAUGAAAAAGAAAAAGAAACUACAAGAUUAAUAAAGCAUGUCAAUAAACCAUUGACAAAAAAAGAAAAGGCAAGCCAAACAUGCCGUCCAAUGUCUUCCAAAAAAUCCUUUAAAACAACAGGAACAUUCAAGUUUCUUCAAGGAUAGUAACAUUUCAAAUUUCCGACAUACCAAAAAAUGACGAUGAUAAUAGCAUCAAAAUCAUCAUCCUCGUGAUCACAAAACUUAUAAAUUCCACGACAAGCCAACAAAUCUUCAUCAUCGAGAUCAAGAUUCAAAUCGAAAGGUUCGUGAAUAAUUUUAUCCCUAAUAUAAAUCUUUGAUCUGAGUAUGCAACCUUUUCCACAAGCUUCCUUCGAAAUCUAAAUUAUAACAUCCAAAAAUGUCAAGAGACUCAAGACGAGGGCAUCCAUCAAGAAUAGCAAGCAAGCCAACAUCACUGAGAGGGUCUCCAUGAAGAACAAGAUGGAGUAGCCCAUGCAUUUUUUUUGCAAUAAUAAAUGCCUUAUCAUCACACGUGAAGUGUUCUCCAUCCGACAUCGCAUAGAAUGUUAGUGAUUUCAACGCAGGACAACUUUGCCCAAUAACUUCAAGAGAUAUAUUAGAUUCUAAGCAUUAUGAAAUGUAAAUCUCCUCUAACAGGGGAAAUUUCUUUACAAAUUCGCACCACCCUUCAUAUGAUAUUCUAUCGCAUGAAUCAAGUUGUAAGCACCUUAAGUUACUUGCCCUAUAAAAUUUAUACGAUGAAAGGAGAAUUUUAUAAAUAUGAUACAUUCAUAAAAUACAAGGCUCCAAAUACAUAAAAAUAAUAACAUUGAUACAUUCAUAAAAUACAUGGCAAUAAAUAUAUAAAAUACAAACGUACCCAAUCCUACUUUCAAACAUGUGCAAAACGAUUGUUGAAUUGUCUUGCCUGGCCAAGUUUGUUUUUGUUUUGAAACAGCAGAGAAGAGUUUCAAUUAGAAAUAAGAGUACAAAGGAUACUCAACCCAUACAACUCGAAGAGGGUUUAUAUGAAGAGCAAUGUUAGCUAGCAGGAUUCAAUAACCCACGACAACAAACGACGUUGAAAUCAACGGAUAGCAUACAAUACAUGGGGGGGGAGAGAAUAAAAGCAAUGUUGCACAUUCUUCAUCCAAGGGUUAUAUUGGUGUCGUGCGUUUUCGUGCUUGUAUUGUUGUCGUGCCACAAACAAUUUUCUUAUAAUGAAUUCUGUGGGAAAAACAAUGUGGAAGAUUUCUCAAUUUUUCCCCUGUAUAUCGCACCCCCAAAAGUCCUCCUCCCCCUCCCCACCAAACAAUGCCUUACGAUCCAAUCCAUAGGAUCUACAUUAUUGUGGCCAAGCAAAUGACAACCAAAGAAAACAAAUAAAUGGAGCCAACUGCACAGCAUUCCUAAAUGCAUAUCAAAGUACCAAUAACUAAACUAAAAAAUAAAUCAACAUUAAGCAACACGAAAUACCAUGAAACAAGCGGUUGUUAACAUGGUGGCCAAUUUAAGAUUGUGGCAGAAAAAUAAAUAUUAAAACUUGCAAAGAAACAAACAUCGUUGAAAACAUAUAGGGUUUCCAUUCCAUUGAUGAAGAAGCUUCUCAUAAUCCCCUUUGCCAAUAAAGAGAUAUUUACCUAUCGAUUAAUGAUAAUAACAAAGUAUAUAACACUAAAAGGAGAGAAUAUGAAAAUAAAUUUGGCAUUACCUACCAGCAAUGUAUUGGAGAAGAUCAUCGGUGGCAAAACAAUAAAUAUCAUUUUUUUCUAAAUGGCCAGAACUUAGAUCAACAGCGUACUGACAAAGGUUAACCAAACAAUCAAGAUUAUGAGUCCCAUGAUCAUCAGAUAAGAAAGAAAAGUUCCCAUGUUAAUCUCGCACCACAUGAAAGGAUCUUUGCAAAUGUUCCACCAAUAAGGACACACAUAGCGUGUUUUUGUUAGAAUUUCGACUGUAUUAAGCCUUUGAAGUAUGUUUGAUGUUAUAUCUUUUGGAAGUUCAACCCAAUUAGGGUUUUUUGUGCUCUCAAAUUUGUGUUUCUUCGCUGGAGAAGAAGACAUUGCGUCUCUCUAGGGUUUUUUAAGUUGAAACAACGAGAAGGAACCUGUGUCACACCUUUUAUGCUUGAGAAUUCUUUUUUUUUUUUUUUGAGAGCUGCUUGAGAAUUUACAUUUUUUUUUGACAAACAUUCUUGAGAAUUCAUGAAACGUUAAUGUUUCUAUAGAUUUGUUUCAAUCUUUCAUGGACAUAAUUUCUUCACCUUAAACUUUUAUCAGAAAUGCUAACGGUGUCACAUUAAAAAUGAAAAUUACAUGUCUGUCAUUUUUAUUUUCUUUGCACAAACGUCAUUUUUGUUAUAUGAUACUAAUAUAAUAAAACUGAUCCCUCUUCUUCUCUUCUCUCGGUGACGGGUCUUGAACCGACUACCUCUAAGUUGUAGGGCAAACCUUACAAUCAAAUGGCUUCUCAGGAGACAUGCAAUAUAAUAAAACUGAUGUCCACCAUGUUUUUUCUAAUAUGUCAUCGGUCGAUCUCUUAAUCUCAUUCAUUUGGAAAAAUAUAUGCUCAUUUUGUAAAUAAAACAAAUGGAUGCUAAAGCCUAAAAAACAUAGGAGUAAACCCUCAUUUUCGUCCUUGAAAGUGACACUCGCUAUCAGACACAUCCCUGAAUCAACGAAAAUUAUUAAAAACUCCUUCAAAGUUAACUCCAUUAAUCAUUUUAAUCCAAAAGGUUAAAUAUCAGUUAAGUGUGAUGAUUUGUCUUGUAACUUUACUGACGUGGCAUCUGACUAGAAAUAUUAUAAUGAUUGAUUGGAUUUUUCCUUUGACAACUUGGCUUUUAUUUUAAUUGACAUUUAUUUAGAAAAUAAAAUAUCAUAAAACAUCAAAAAUUCAUAAGUUAUAGGUAACCUAUUAAACCCAAAAUCAAAACUCAAAAGUCACCACUAUCUUCUCAAAUAACCUAAAUCUUCACAACCUCUCAAACAUAGAAUCCAUGACUUUUCAAUCUUCUUACAAAAACUCUACAAUCAUUUCCUUUAGAUCCAUCUUCUCACCCUCUUAAACCUAGAAUUCAUCAGGAAGAGGAGAUUUUCACAUUCAUAAUUUCUACUCAUAUUUAGAAGAAGACUAAAAUUUGGUACCAUUGUUUUAAUUUAUACUAUCUCCGAUACUUCUUUUAUGAGAUCCUUAUUUCGAAAUUCUCAUAUGGGUUUUGAACUAAUGGUGUUUAGGUCUUUGUUUUUGGUAUCAAAUCUGAAUCUCUUUGAUAGACUUAUGGUUUUGUGGGUUUUGGUUUUGAGCUGACUGAAGGAACUACUGUCACCCCAUUCACUCACCCAUCUUCAUUUUUAAAUUGAAUUUCAUAUUGGAGGAUUUCUGGUUGUUUGUUUCAGGGAGCUUGAACUAUUUCAGGAGUUGUUUGUCUGUUUCUUUUUUUUUUCUCUCGCCAUUUCAGCUUCAAAUUUGCGUUUGAUUUUUCAUUUAGGAAGUGAGUGAGAUCAUUUGUAGUGGAUGUAUGUGUAGCUUCUUGUGGUGUGUCUCAGAAUUAUGUGGUUUGUGUACAUAUGGAGCUACAAAAAUCAUGAAUGUUGUAAUGUUUGUGGUGUGUUAAAGUUGGAAUUGUUUUACAAUUAGGACCCAAAAGUUGUCUUAUGAGAAAAUGAUGAACUUUGAUUUACAUUAUUUACUUUUGUUGUUAAUUUUAUGUGGUUUUUAAAUCGUUCUUCUAUUUGGUUAUGGAGUUUUGGGAAAAUUUAGAAUUUUUUUGUUGAUGAUAGCUUGGGGUUGUUGGAUUAUAGAUUUUGAGUUGGAGAUGAAGAUGAAAAUAAAGAUGAUAAAUCAAUUCAGAUUUUGAUUUUUUGGGGAUUUUAUGGAUUAUUUAUUUUUUGGGGAUUUAGAAUUUAGAGUUUUGAUUUUUUUUGUUGAUUUUGAGUUAUCUGUAUAAAUAUGAAAAAUUCUGGGUAGAGAUAUUGGAGAAUAUGAGUUUGAGUUGUUUUGGAGAAGAAGAAGAAAUUAGAGGUGUUGGAGAAGAUGAAGGUAGUAACAUAAUUAUGGUCAUUUUGGUCCCUCUCGCCUACAUGGACAUCCAUCAAUUUAGUCAUUUGCCUACGUGGAAGGCCAAUACAGCAACUGAAGUGGCAAGUCUAGCGGCCAGAUUAGCAUAGUUAACGCCCAGUUAACGUUUUGGACGUGAAUGACUAACGGAAAAGACAUUGGGGGAGUUUUUAGUUCGUUUCAUUGAUCCAGGGACGUACCUGAUAGCGAGGUACACUUUUAGGGAUCCAAAUGAGGGUUUACUCAAAGAAUGGAUGCUAAGCCUUUUUGAGAACUCUCAUAGCAUAAAUCUAGCGGUUGUUCUUAAUACUAAGUAUGACUGAUGCAUAAUAAUAGGUGGAAAGAAGCAAAUGUUACCACUUACCAUUGAAGCGAGUGGAUGUUAUCGUUAAGAAGAAAUUAAGACUUUGGCUAAGCAAAAAAAUUCAUUAACCCAAUAUAAGAAUAAAUCAUGUGUAAAAUGAAUGAAUGUGACAAAUAUGAGAUGUGUCCAAAUAUAUUACUAGAAGAAAUAUGAUGUUACCACUUAAUUGGAUUUUGGCGUUUUUUGCUAGUGCUGGAUGGUAGGCAACAUCUAUCGUAGAAGCAUGCAUAGUGGGAAAGUUAUUAAGACGUACUCACCAGCUUGAAGACAACAACAUGCUACAAUAUCACCUACUUGAUGUUCAGUGCCGAUCCUAAGCUUCAGCACAAACUUCUUUCUAGUUCUAGUUUGUAGGUCAGUAGUAUGACCCCUAUAUAUGUUUAUAUUAAUCAUUGCAGUAUCUUAAUCCUCUAACUAAAAAUAAAAUGGAAAGUCAAACCCUUAAAGAAAAAGUGAUAAACUUUUAUUUUCAUAGAUCUGGGGAUACGGUACAAUACAAGCAAAAGUUAAUAUUCCAAGUAAACUUAGAAAAAUCGAUAUACCUUGCAAAUACAAAGAGAAAAGGUUACUCAUUAUCAAACUUGUUAUGGGUUUAUGAAGGGUUUUUGUUCACCACAAAUGUUAGUAUAAGUGUUAUCUUGUAGGUAGGGAUUGAUCCUUCCAAAUUAUUUAUGCUUGAUUAACUCUUUAACUCAUUUACUUUGAUCGCAAAAUAAACUUUAUAUUUCUCUUAUGAAGAAAGUUGUAUUUUCAUGGUUUGGAAAUUUCCAAAAUGAUUACAGAAUAAAUUAGCUAUCAUCCUGGUAAGCUUAACUUAGUUGGUAGAAACAAUGCAUAAUAUAUGGAAGGUUCGGGGUUUAAACCCUGACCAUCACAAAAAAAAAAAAAAAAUUAGCCACCGCAAUAUUUCUACAUGUAUAAAAUGGUGAGCUAUAGGUGAUGACUCAUGGUGCGUUUGUUUUAGCUUUAAAAAAAAUAUAUUGUGUUAAAAGAAUCUAGAGAUUUUAAAAAAAAAUCUGAAGCUAUUUUUGUUUGCCUACUAUCCAUAAAAAAUCUAUUUUUUUUUUAAAGAAAAUGAGUUUUGACAUGUACACUUUUUUAUUUACCUCCUUGUUUCUGAAGAAAAAAAAAAUAGAUUUUGAGAAAAGCUAAUCCUAAUAGCUUUUCAUUUUAGGAUCAAAAUAUAUUUUUUUUGAUGAAAUAAUUUUUUUCUGAAAAUCCAAAACAAACACUUAAAAAUAAAAAAAGUGAUUUAAAAAAAAAAAAGAAGAAGAUUUUUUUUGGAAAAAAUCCAAAACAAUUGGGCAUCGAUGAAAUCCCUCAUCAAUAAAAAAUACAUUAUUAUAAUUAGUCAUCCAUAUUUUUUAAAUAAAAACAUAUGCACGUCCCGUGCUCGUCUUUCCUGAUUUGUAUCAUUAUGUCCUCUUCAAAUGGUGUUUUUUUUUUGUUUGUGGUCGGGGUUCGAACUUCAGACUUUGUAUAUAUUAUGCAUUGUCUAUACCAACUGAGCUAAGCUCACGAGACCUUCAAAUGGUGUUUAAUGGUGAAUGUGACAAUAUUAAAAAAUUUCGCUAAGUUAAAAACUAUUUUCCCAAAAUAAAAUAAAAUAAAACGUGCAGGAUGAUAUUGAAAACACAUAAAAGUAUUGGAUUGUUGUAAUUUUCAUGGACCAGUACCGUUGAACGAGGAUUUUUAUAUGGAUUUGUCAUAUUUUUUAAGGAAGGUUCUUAAGUCACUUGAUAUGUCUUAGCGUGGAUCACAUGAUUCACAUAUCAAAAUCAACCACCGUCACCCUCUUCCUAAUGUCUCAUUCUCCCCGCCUCAAAUUAUUUUACUCGAUUUUAUUGACUUUUGUUUUGGAAUGGCUUAUUGACUUUCAAUUAAAUAACAAGCAUGCAUUAUUAAAUAACAUUCCUAUAUUUUUUUUUUAAGAAAACAUUCCUAUAUUAUUAUCUGUAAUUUGAAGACGUACUUAGUGACUCUUGUUCAAAUAGUCGUUUUAGAGAUUUUGGAUGUCACGUUUCAAACUAAAAUAAUGUUCUAUUCAUAUUGUUUUAUAGUAUAUUCUCCUUGUAUUUUUUGUUUGCAUGUUCAAUGAUAAGUAAUCGACAUUAUUUAACAAUUGUUUUCGAUAGAAAUAGAAAGGUAAAAAAUAAAUACAAUAAAAACUGUAUAUUUGAUAGAAAAAACUUUCAUAAUUUCAAUUUUGGAAAACUUCUCUCAAAAGAUAGAAUAGUAACACAACAUAUUGUUAACAUUAUGCAAGUUAUGCGUGUGUGUUAGAAACGUAAUUACAGGUUAAAAUCUUAUUUUUUAGGUGGUGUUCGAAUC
RNAcentral lists this long non-coding RNA (64618 nucleotides) under Medicago truncatula (barrel medic). RNAcentral describes it as "long non-coding RNA (MTRU_LNC008898)". Lineage: Eukaryota; Viridiplantae; Streptophyta; Magnoliopsida; Fabales; Fabaceae. The record is from RNAcentral.